Molecule: long non-coding RNA, 88544 nt
Filed under: Fragaria vesca (wild strawberry)
Lineage: Eukaryota; Viridiplantae; Streptophyta; Magnoliopsida; Rosales; Rosaceae
Description: long non-coding RNA (FVES_LNC002977)
Source: RNAcentral
AAAUUCAAAUGGUACCAUUGUCGAUUAUCUAAAGCAAUUCGGUGAUCUCGUCUUUGCCUCAAUUUCAACAUCAGUAACACAAGGAUUGUACAAGCAGACACAUUCUCUAAAUGCCACAGUUCCAACAACAAGAUCAACAACAGAUUUCUUCCAUCCAUAUCUAAAAGUAAAAAAAUUGAAUCAACCAACAAUUCACAAGAAUGACAAAUUUAUAAAUACAAGACAGGGAACAAUUCACCACGAUCAAUCUCUUUGUUUUUUUGCUUAAGACGAUUGACUAUGGAUCGAAUAGAGAAAAACUGAUUAUCAAAGAGAGAGAGGAAGAAAUAGAUGGACGUACCUGCUGACGAAUCCGGGAAGAAGAUGGCGGCAAGCUUGGCCUUGGAGGUGUCGACGGCCUCGUGGUCGGGGCGGGGGCGUUGAGGACGGAGCGGAUCUGGGAGACGUCAGAGACGGCGCGGGUCAGAGAGGAGGUGAAGAAUGGAAUCGUCUAUGAAAUCAGAGAGGAGAAAAGUUGUGGAGCAGAGAUUCUUUUCGGGGUGGAAGUGGAACAGAGGAGGUGAAGAAGAAGAGAGAAGAGUUGUGGAGGAGGCGAUGCGAACUGAGAGAGGUUAGUGAGGUCUUAGCUAAGGGCCUCUAAUCGGAAUACCCACGCUAAGCCCUGCUAAGGAGGCGAAAUCAGAAAACAGGUCCAAGUUAAGCCCAUUAAUAUUAGUACCGAGAGAGACCAAACAUGGGAUUAGCCUUGUUUCACUCCUUAUUUAACACUGGCUUAGAUAAUACCGGGUACCAAACGUACCCAGAAAGUACAGUGUAAGGCUCAUAUUAACCAUAUGCUAUCGAUACAUAGUGGCUGAUAAUAAAUCAUUUUAUAAGAAUAAAUAAGAGGAGCUAGUUUCACAACUGACAACAGAAAACCUAAAGGUAUGUUUCAUUAACAUGGUAUAACUAUGAACCAAUUAAUAGAGUUGAAACAUAAACCUUCACCAAGUUUUUCACAUGUCCGUCCCUUUGGAAAUUAAGUAAAGGCUAGACGAAGGAAUGUCAAUAAAGAGAGGCAUAACAUUGAAAGAGUGAACUUUACUGAAAAAUAGUAUUUCUUAUUUAAGAACACUAAAACCAGCAGUAGAAGCAGGUUUGAUAAUGAAGGUGUGUGGUUAUGAACCAAAUGACACUAGUUGUUUCACAACUCAAGAAGACAGCAAAGAGAGGAACACUUAAAUAUCUAACCCACUAACGUCGAGACACACACACACAGACAUAUAAAUCAAUCACAAAAUCAAUACAAGGAAACUCAUUGAUCAAUAACCCAAUCAAACAAAGAAAAGACGAGGGUAACACGAAUCACUGAAAUUAUAAACACGUCUACUUGGUAAUAAACCCAAUAAUGUACCUGAAACUGUUUGUUCAACAAACCCAUUAAAGCCAAUAAUGAUACUGAGACCAUGGAAAACAAGUGAGACUCUUUGUUCAUCAAAACAAGCAAACAACAUAGACAAUGUGACAUGAACCGCUACAGGUACAAGCAAACAAAAUAAAGACCCAUUUAUAUAUACACUGCAAAAUGGAUUCAAUGAAAAUUUUCAUGAAACAAACCAACCAUUCAAUAUAUUACAGCAAAUAAAUAGCCAAGAGACCCAAUCACUGAAAAUAAAGAGCACUGAAAGCCUAAUAUCCAAUCAAAAAAUUUGGGGAUUUAGGAUUUUGGCCAUCCCCUGAAAUUCUUUGAAGCCCUAAAACUAAUGAAACAAAGUGAUCCUCACCUAGUAAUCGCAGUUAUAUCAUGCAGAGGGGUUCUUGGGUACCAAGAAGGCAACACGCUGUUCGAUCUCUGUCCCCUUCUCCGGCUAAGACGUCCACGUCCACGUCCACGCUCGAUUCCGGUUCCCGGAGUCCUCAAACUGCUCGGUGCCACUCCACCGCCUGUCCCCCAAAUCCCUAGGGGCCGCUGGGUCACCGAAGUUGCCGCCGCCCGCUCCGCCUCUGAGCGAAGGCCUCGGCGAUGUCGAACGGCCUCACCAAUCGGAAUCGCGUCUCAGCCGGCAUGUUGAUCGAUCUGAAAACGGGAAAAUCAAACCAAGAUUAGCACUCAAAUUUCAAAGAAAAGAACAUUCCCGAUCAAAACUAGGGUUAACUCAAACCGCCGGAGACAAAAACCGUCACCGAAAAAUUGAAAACUGAACGGCGACUCAGACCGAUCUGAGCGAAGAAGAAGCAAAUAUUUGAUUUACCUGAAUUAGUGUUAGGAUCUGAGACCUAACGCGAGAGAAAGGAGAGAAGGGAAGAAGAGAAUUGGGGAAGAAGAAACUAAAUUGCAUUCAUAAAACAACUAAUUAUGCUUAAUUAACACAAGAGGGUUUGGUGGUGCCUCGAAUUCGAAGAGAAGGGGAGGAAGGAGAAAAGGAGAGCUCCAUGUUGAAAGGACCACGACACACACUUGGAUAGGCCUUUUAAACAGACGGUGUCGUUUGGACGAAACAAAAAAGAAGAUAGAAAGAUUGGUGAUGCGGGGGAUCGAACCCCUUACCUCUCCCACACAUUUUUUUACUCCUAUGAUGUUGUUUUUUUUUUUUUUUUAAGAGGACCACAUCAUUGUGAACCAACUACACAGAGGAAUCAAAAUUUUCAAAAAUCUUGUAAAAUAGGAUAUGAUCGGAAUAGUGAAAUACAACUAAUGUUUUAAAAAAACACAAACUUCCGGUAAUGUCUGGACCCCGAUAAACGCGGUCAACCCUAAUUACAUUUAGACACUCCUACGGAGAGCCUAACCACCGGAGGGUCAAUUUAACAAAAAAAAAUUCAUGGGGUUCCUAAAGCUCAGCUUUAGGUUCGAAAAAGGAGAAAAAUAGGGUUUCGCACGAUGCCGGUCAACCGCGUUUUAGGUAAAAAAUGAUGUUGAAUUAAGGUUGACCGAUUCGAUGGGGAACGUAACAAAUGGUUGAUUUUUUUCAAUAGACCUAUUUAAUUAGCAUUAUUACAUCAGACGGUGGAAUUUUUAUUUUACAUAUUUAUGACCUCGGAUCGCCUCGUGUCUACUAAAGCGAUACAACUUGUUUAAUAUGUUACUAGAAAGGCCUCGCUCGCGUAUGCGCUUGUUUGUUUUUGUUAAAUAUAUUAACCAUGUACAUAAUCUUCACUCUUUAACUAUGUUGUGCUUUAAAUGUCGUUUAGGAGUGUGUUAUUUGUAAUUGUUACUGCAUGCAAACAUUAGUGAAAAAAAAAAAAAAAAUUACACUCGAGGCCUUUGUGUCUCAUCCUUUGAAGCCAUGUAUCAAAUCAUGCAUUCAACAUAGAUUUGUCCAUGAGAACUUGUACAUCAAAUAGUGGACAAUGGUCAUCAGUCAUCACUACCUUGUAAUACUCUUUUUUGUACGUCCUCCCCUUUAAAAGAAGUAGUUUCUGGUGUUGCUUAUAGGCUUCCAUAUAUGAGAGAGCGGAGAGCUGAAAUAUAAACAUGAUGAUUAUUUGAGUGAAAGCCUACCCAAAAAAAAAAAAAAGGAAUUGGAAAAUCUUCCACAUCCAUGAAAUGGAUCCCAUUACCCAAUGAAAACAAAGACCGGUGAUAUCAAUAAUAGGUAAGAAGUAUCCAAAUAAAAGAGAAUUUAAAAAAAUAAAUAAAUAAAAACUCAAUGUCAAAUUUUGACAAACUCUAAGUAUAUUAUAGAUCACUUCCUUCUUAACAGUUUUUCAUUACGGGGUUGUUGUUUUUUUCUUCUUGUUCAUUCUCCCUGUUUUAUUAUUAAGAAAAAACAUUUAGUUUUCAAAAAACAUUAAGCAGAUACAAAAACAAAGACACAAAACUGAACGAUACAUCCUUAAUCCAAACUUAGACGUUUCAAUUCAUUGAAGCUUCUAUGAACCUUUAACUUCCCGUUGAUGUCAUGAUUUCACACAUUUCUAAUGAGACACUUUGAUUUUCCUUCUUAUCUUCUUCAACUCCAUCUUUCUUUUUAGAAUUUUAGCAACCUGCAGUUUUAGAACGUGAAGAAAUGAGGUGAUUUGAGUUUCUUUUUAUGUGUGCGGCUAGGUCUCCCCUCUUCCAAAUGAGGUGAUGCGUGUGUGGCUGGAGACUUGAGGAUAGAAUGAAUGAUGUGGCAUCUUGUGAUUGGUUGAAGAGGGAAAAUGAAGUGAUGCUGGUGUGCACGUGAUGGUCUCCUUCCCAUUUUGCAUAAUUAAACAACUCAUUGAUUAAUUUGUAAUACUGCACGUUUUGGGUGGGAGAAGUUAAUUAAGCUUUAAGCUUAAUUAGUUAGUUAACUAAUCAAGCUUAAUUGUUUAACUAAGAUAACUACCAUCUCGUCUUUUUGCAGAAAACUCUUCUUCGCUCCAAUUUCAAGUCAUUUCUCUCAUUUCCGUAACUUCCGUAUAUUUUCUACAAAAUAAAUAAAAAUGGAUUAAUUACAUUAUGAUUACUAUGAGAAUUAGCUAACUCAUAGUGUUUAAGUAGUAAUUAAGUGUAUAAAAAUACACGUAAUUAAACCCCCACACUUGAACUUUGUUUGUCCUCAAACAAAUUAAAUAAAACAUAAACCGAAAACUACUAACUUAAACACACAAAUGCAAAUUAGUGGUGCUAGCAAGUCUUUCCCACCAUAUCCUCCGGGAACUAAAUUAUGUAAAUGACAAUGAAUUGAUCAAGCAUAUGUAUAGGUCUCAAAAAUUUAUUAGGUAAUUAAUAUAGGAUUAAAUUCAGUUUGCCCCCUCCUACUUUAGGUCAAUAAUCAGUUUAGUCCCAUAUCUUUUUUUUAAUAACGUUGGUCCUUGAAGUUCUAUUUCACAUCAGUUUAGUCUAAUUUUUGAAUUGCUCUCCUUACUAUGACAUCAUGCGCUGAGUUGUCUGCGACACAAGGGCUCAAUUUCUAAUUUAAAAAGGCAGAAUAGUCAUUUUAUCAUAUUAUGGUCUUCAAAUAAUUCAAAAUUAACAGAAAUGAUUUUGAGAGAAAAACACAGUGAUGCACAGUACCUGCCGACCAAAAAUAAUCUUUGCUCUUUGCUACGCCACAAUACCCACCUCCUCUUCCUCCCCACACCCACAUCUCCAAUCCCACCAGAGCCCAACUCGACGACACCGUUCGUUGUCGGGACGCAGACCAUGGUCUGAAGCCCGAACACCUGACCUUGGCGGGCACGCUCGCAAGAAGAGGCGGCGAAGCGGUCCGGCCCGGCGACCCAGACCGGGUUGGAAUGGAAGAAGUCCUGACCCGGCAGCCCGUCGCCGUUGACGAAAUUCUGGGUCAUGGAAACGAGGAAGAACCAUUAUGUGUAAGUGACCUCUUGAUCGACGAGGGCGUCGUCGACGGAGGUGUCAGCGCCGGAAGUCAAGGAGUUCAAGUCCCUGAGAACUUUCUUGCGGUACUCUUGCUCGACCAGAGACGUCGUCGUUUUGGGCUUCGUUUUUACUUUGUCCCUCUCGUCCUUGUAGAACCCCUCGCCCCAGCCGAGCACGGAGGCGCCCGACAUGUCGUACGACGACUGCCAGGAGAUGGCGUAGGUCCAGCUCUCCCUGGCGCCCUCGAUCAAGGCAUGUAGCCACUGCAUAAGGGUCUCUUGGUUGAACUGCGCCGAUACCGGAGUCGGCGCCUGCGCCGGGGGGCGGGGGUAGUCCGACAUGGAAGCCAAAGACUGGGGCUGGUGAAGCGGGUGGGCGGCGGGAUGGGGUCGGCUGGGCGGCCCAGAAGGAGGUGAGAUCGAAGUUACUUAUGAAGGCCUCCAUGAGGGAGGCGUUGUCGUCUAUCCAGAGAUUCAUGGUGGGUGGUAUCCGGUAGUCCGUCAUGUGAAUGAUGUGAUGAAACACAACGUUUGGGUUAUGGUGGGAUUGGAGAAGUGGGUGUGGGGAGGAAGAGGAGGUGGGUAUUGUGGCGUAGCAAAGAGCAAAGAUUAUUUUUGGUCGGCAGGUACUGUGCAUCACUGUGUUUUUCUCUCAAAAUCAUUUCUGUUAAUUUUAAAUUAUUUGAAGACUAUAAUAUGAUCAAAUGACUAUUCUGCCCUUUUAAGUCAGAAAUUGGGCCCUUGUGUCGCGGAUAACUCAGCGCAUAACGUCAUGGUAAGGAGGGCAAUUCAAAAAUUAGACUAAACUGAUGUGAAAUAGAACUUCAAGGACCAACGUUAUUAAAAAAAAAGAUAUGAGACCAAACUGAUUAUUGACCUAAAGUACGAGGGGGCAAACUGAAUUUAAUCCAUGAUUAAUAUAUAACAUGUAAAAGAUGUUUAUGUGCUAGCCAUGUGUCAAACCAAUUUACGACAAGUAAGUACGACAUACUAAACUUGGAUUAACCGCUAAACUCACAAGGAUGCACUAAAUAUUUCGGCUCAAGUGUUUAGGGCUAAUUGUGUUUCACUUAAUAACAAUUUCGCAAAUUAGGUCUCUAUAGGCUUGCUCUUCUACCGCAUCUCCGCUAGGUAGCUUCACAACUUUCAAGAUCAUGGGGUAUUUUAUUUGGUUAUAAUGGGGUUAAGAGCAUGUGGCUAAUAUAAAUGAAGGAUAUGAAAAUAAUAAGUCCAAAGAAAUAGGUGAAGUAACUCUCUCUUGUAGAGAUAUUAGAAUUUUGCUUUCAAGUGCUAGCUCACCCACUCCAUUCCCAAUAGCAACCCACUAACAAGACUAUACAAUAUUUUUUUCUUCUACAUUUUUUCUUUCUUUUCUUUUUGUCUCUCUAUUUUUNNNNNNNNNNNNNNNNNNNNACAAGGGAUUGUAGUGUAGGACCUCAAGCUUCGUAUCCUCUUCACUAAACAAGGACUCAUCCUCCACAUAAGACAAGGCAUCCUCCUCUUCGGAAUCAUCUUCAAGUAGCUCUCCACUAUUAGGAAGCCUACAUUUCCAAUAUUCCACCCAUUCCGUAGAAGAGUAGUCUCUCACCUCACUUGCAUUUGAACUCUCAUAACCAAGCUCACUUUCUUGUACAUCACCAUCACUAUCAUCAUCUUUAAUUUGAAUUAAAGACUCAUGCUCAAGAUUGAUGUACACUUAUUCUCUUGGAAUAUGCUCCACUUAUCAAAGAAAGGCUCUUGCAAAUAUAAAGUGGUGCGAUGUUGCUCUUGAAGGAUGCUAGCUUUGACAUAAUCCAUGAUUGGACCGACACUCUCACAUGAUGCUAUAAAUUGAGCAAACAAUUCUUCAAUGGAUGAGUGUGGAGGCUCUCACACUUGAUCUUGAGGAGAUUGCUCAUAUCUCAUUUGGUAUUUCCAUCCAUGAUUCUAUCGUUCCAUAGCUCAAAUUAGUAAGAAUAAAGUACCUAUGGAAUCCCAAGAGUGACAUUAGUAACAAAAAUUUAAAAAGAAAGUAAGAAAAUAAGCACACAAAACAUAACUAACUAACUAGAACAAUUUUUUUUCUUUUUCCUUUUAUCAAAAAUAAACAAAACAAAAACAAAUAUGCUAAAGUGACCUAUGACUGAUUCACCAAGGGAUUAAGGCUAUUAAACCAUAAUCCCCGGCAACAGCGCCAUUUAAUUUGAAGAAAAUGAGAAAGCCAAGUCAGAGUUGUAUUCAUUCUUUUAUUUAUACGGUUCAGAAGACAAGCCAGGUUUAAUGAGAACUUCAAAUGGAGUGGCUUUAUUUAUACGAUUGGUGUUGAGGACGCGGCCAUGUAAAUGAUGUAAUUGAUAGUGAAGGUGCUGGUGAAGGUAACUUCACGAGAAUCAUGCUUGAAACUUGAAAGUAGGAGUCAUCAUGCUUGUUAAUAUUCGUUGUCUAAUUUUUGAGCUCUGAUCCCAAAAUAAAAAAAUUAAAAAAAAUGGCACGUGUGACAUGAGCGGGAAUAAAAUUGAAUCGCAAAUAGAGACGUUGCUGGAUUGACUUCGAUGGAUGAUCACGGUUUCUACGACGUAAUGGGAUCGAAGACUACACGUGUCAUUUUAAGGGUGAAAAAGAAAAUGAGUGGGGAGUAGGAUUCUGACAAGUGUGUUUUUUACAAUAUUUUAGGUUAUGCAAGUUGAUUAGGCUAAUUAUUAGCUAGCUGAAUGCCACGUGGAGAGUGUCCAAUUUUACAAAGGUGAUGUGUUUAGAGUCGAUGCACAUCUUAACCUGAUCUUUAAUGAUUCAAAUCAGAAAGAAUAUUUGUAGAAGAAGCUAGAAAAAAAAACAAAUAACAAAAGAAAAAAAUAAUAUAUACUUUUGUAAAGGUAACAUUAGGUUUUCUUUUGUUCAUCACUAAAGUAGUUGUAUGUGGUUAGAUUAACAGCUUCAUUAUAAACAUAGUUGUUUUAAGAUGUGACGAAUAAGUCUAAAUAUCAUAUAACAUUCUAGGUUUAGGUUUUUGGUUCGUCGUUUACAUGACUUACAUUUUUUAGGGUAGGGUCAUUAAUUCUCGUCAAACUAUUGUAUGUCACCGUGAGAGCGAGUGAUUUGCUUCAUUCGCUGGUGGUUUCUAUGUCCUCAUGUUAGCUUCAUCUGUCACUUUAGCAUUGGAGUCCAUUAUCUUCUCUCAUAUUUUUCUCAUUAUAGCCUGUUGAAAACUUGUGAAUUGAGUUUUGCAUGCCUCACCAUAAUUAUUCGUCUCAUUAUAGCCUGUUGAAAACUUGAAAGAAGCUGCAGCAAGGGGUUUCCAAGAGGGUUUCUGAAAAUGAAACCGCCUGCCGCAUAGCUACUCUUCACAGAUCCAUCAAAAUUUAAUUUAACCCAAUCACUAGGGGGUGGAGACCACCUUAUCAGAUAUCAUUCUCAUAGUUUGAUAAGUACUCCUGACUGUGCAAAGAUUGGCCGAAUUCUGGAGGUGGCUCAUUGCAGCAGCAAGAGUCGAUCUAGGAUUAGGCUGUUUGCCCCGAAAAAUGGUAUCGUUUCUGGUUUUCCAAACCUGCCAACAGAUAGUGAUUAAUUUCUCAAAUAAACUUGCGUCAUAAGGAUUUUCAAUGAACCAAUUAUGAAUAACUUUAAAAAAGCCUUCAUUCCAGCUAAUAGGGGGUGACAUGUUGGAGUUGGUCCCCAAAGGUCUUUUGUGAACCUGCAAUAUCCAAACAGAUGAUCAGUAGUUUCAUUAUCCUGAUUGCAUAAAGCACAAGAAUUAUCAUGCACUAUACCGAAUCGAGAAAGUCUAUCUUGGGUUUUCAGUCUUCCUCUAAGGAGAAGCCAGCCAAAGAAUUUAAUUUUUGGCUGGAGGUUCAGGGCCCAAAGCUUUUUGAUCAGCUCGAUCUGUUUAUGUUUUUGACAAUCCUGUAGUUGUAGCCAAGUAGCCGACUUUAUAGUAAACUUCACAUGCUGAGCAGUGCCCCAAACGCACUCAUCUGCAGAGGGAUUAGUGGGAAUAGGCACCCCAAGAAUUUCCUUCACAAUGUUCUCAUCAAGAAAACUCCUCAGCUUUACAGUGUUCCAGCCAUUUUCAUUAAAGUAAUCGCUCACUAGCUCAUCUAAGUUAAUGUUAUUCCUAAGAUGGGUAGGAAUAAGUUCGACAAGAGGAUGAUCAAAGACCCAGUUAAAACAGCAAAAGUUAAUUGACUUACCAUCACCUACAAUCCAUCGCAUACCUUUAAUGAUUAGGUCCCUUGUGUCCAGAAUACCAUUCCAAGCCAUUGAGUUUCUUUGCUUCUUUUUGGCCUGGAAAAAAGAACAUUUCCCGAGAUAUUUCUUCUGCAUGACCUGCUCCCACCAAUUGUUUCUAUCAGUAAUUACUUUCCAGGCAAGUUUUGCAAUUGCAGCCUUAUUAAAGAAAUCGGCUGGUCUAACACCUAGACCACCUAGAGCUUUAGGUUUACAUAUAUCUUUCCAAGCCACAGGAGUUUGUUUCAUAUCUGAACCCCACAAGAAAUUUCUUCCUUGUUUGUCAAUUUCAUUGGUCAAGUUCUUGGGGCACCGAAAAAGGACAUUACAUGGUUCGGCAUACCAGAAAUGUUUGCUUUGAUAAGGGUAAGUUUACCUGCCCUCGAGAGGGUGCUUUGUUUCCACCCUGAGAGUUAUUAGAAAUUCUCUGCAAGAGUUCCUUGGCAUUAACAGGGUCUUUCCACCACACAACAUUGUGAAUGCCUAAAUAUUUACCAAUAGUUCUUUUCUGUUGGAUAUUAAUAAUAUUCGUAAUUUCAUUCCUAAUGCUGUGAUUAACUUUUGAGGAAAAGAAAAGUGAAGAUUUAUGGAAGUUAAUCUUCUGACUUGAAGCAGCAGAGAAAGCAUCCAAAACUUUGCAUAUGUUCCUGGUAGCAUUUUUAGUGGUCUUUGCAAAAAUUAAACAAUCAUCAGCAAACAUCAAGUUUGAGAUUCUGAAACCAAGAGGGGAAGAAAGAAUUCCCACCUGGGCUUUACUGUUCACUGCCAAAGAGUUAAACCGUUUGAUUAAAGGUUCCAUUGCUAAAAUGAAAAUAUAAGGGGACAAGGGGUCACCUUGUCUUAUACCUCUUGAAGGUUGGAACCAGCCCUGAGGAGAGCCAUUGAGAAUAAUAGAGAAGGAAACAGAUUUAAUGCAAUGCAUAACUAACUCAAUCCAAUCAUAGUGAAAGCCAAAUCUCAAAAGACAAGCUUUAAUAUUAAGACCAAUCAAGUAAAUCAUAAGCUUUUUCAAGGUCUAGUUUGACUGCCAUGGCUCCAUUCCUUCCUAAUCUUCUUUGAAAAUCUGAGAAGAUUUCAUGUGCAAUCAAGAUGUUAUCCUAUAGCCCUUCCUGGUGCAAAAGCACCAUGGUUUUUCGAUAUACAUUUUCCUAAAAGAGGUCUUAAUCUUUUGAUCAAAAUUUUGGUAAUGAUUUUAUAAGAGACAUUGCAAAGGCUAAUAGGUCUGAAAUCAUUUACCUUAGAGGGAUUUUCUACCUUGGGAAUCAAGGCAAUAUUGGUAUGGUUCAAGUGUCUGAUUAGAUCUCCAUUGGUAAAGCAAGCUUUAAUCAUUGGUAUCACAGUGUCUCUUGUCUCCUUCCAGCAACUUUGAAAGAACAUUGCAUGCAGACCAUCAGGUCCGGGUGCUUUAAGCGCUCCAAUAGAGUUAACUGCUUACAGAAUUUCAUCAUCCGUGACCUGUUUCAAAAGAGCAUUAUUAUCCUCAGCUGUGAUUUCAGAGUUAAUAAUAGAUAUAAAAUCCAUAAUACUAGUUGCACUUGGAGGUGAAUCCUGGUGAAAUCUUUUCUUGAAGUCCUGUCCAAGAAUAUGAGCAAUAUCCUCCUCAUUCGAAGUCCAAUUUCCUUCUCUAUCUUGUAGCUUAGAAAUAUGGUUAACCUUCCUGUGAAUGUUUGCUUGAGCUUGAAAAAAUUUGGUGUUUCUGUCCCCUAGUUUAAGCCAAUUUGCUUUAGCUUUUUGUGCCCAAAAAACUUCCUCUUGUUUCCAGAUUUCAUGUAGGCUAACACGAACUUGAGCAUCUCUCUGCUUAAGAUAAAUGGAGCUUGGGUUGUUCAUGAGUUGUAAUUGGAUCUCAUCACUUUCCUUGUUCAGUUCCUCCAUUCUUUUGAAAAGGCUGCCAAAUUCUGAUUUUUUCCAAGAUCUGGCAACAUUAGAAAACUGGCCUGCAAUGGUAAUAAAAUUCAACAUAGGGUUAUUAUUAAAAUUUUGGGACCAAACUUUUUUCACUAAAGGGGCAAAGUUUGGAUGGGAAAUCCAAAUAGCUUCAAACUUGAAGGAUUUAGUAGUAUUCCUUCUGGGUGAAUCUAGAGAGAGGCAGAUGGGACCAUGGUCCAAAGUAAUAAUCGGUAGAUUUUCCAAUUUCGCAUUUGGAAAAUCAUUAUGAAAACUAGUAUUAACAAUGGCUCUGUCUAAUCUUUCAAAAAUCACCGAGUCAUCUACAUGCUUAUUUGUCCAAGUAAAAGGUAAACCAGAAGCCACUAGAGACACCAAACCAUUGUUGUUCAAGAAAUCGCAAAAAUUUAGCAUAAACUUCGUUACACCACCAAUACCCCCAAGUUUUUCCUCAGGGGACAUAUUGAAGUCACCCAUUAACACCCAACAAGAGUUAUUAGUUGGGCUGAGCAUAGAAAUUUCAUUCCAUAAGGCAGCUUGGUGUUCCUUUUUUGGAUAGGCAUAAUCAAAGGUAAAUAAGCAAGAUUUAUUUUCUCUGAGGUUAGUAACAUUGCAAUGUAUAAAUCUUUUGUGAGUAGAGAUAAUUUGGAUAGACACAGAUUUUGAAUUCCACAGCAAGGUCAUACCUCCACACUGUCCAACAGAAGGAACAGAAAUAGACUGAUCAAAAGGCAACUUCCUGGUUUUAUUUAAAGUAGUAGCCGAUGAUCUAGUAUCAAUGACACAUAAAACCUCAAUUUCAAAACAAGAAGUAUAAAAGAGUGCUUGUGCUUCAAAACCAUCCCAAGCACUCCCUCGGCUGUUCCAAGACAUUACUUUCAUUUUUUGUCCAAGCUUAGCAGAAAAAGCACUGCCAUCAUCUUCGGCAGAUUCAUACAUGAGAGUAUCAAUGAAGGUUGUAUCGAUGACCUCUGUAAGAUAGGAAUGCUUCAAUGCUUGGCCUAUAGAAAUCAAUGGCUAUAUUUUUCCAAAUUGGUUUGGUUUAAUUAAUAGAGACUAGCCUUCCUGAGAACUAUAAAUGUGCUAUAUUUGGUUUCAAUCUGAGAACUAUAAAUUCACAAUUUUUAUGCAUUACUUUUUCUGUAUUGUAGUAAUUUGAUAUCAGAGAGCAUGAUGAAGAUGAUUCAGAAUUCUCCUUCAUUGGCGGAGUCCCCAAGAAGCUGUGGUGCCGAAUUUUCAUCGUCCAAUCCGUAGUUCCAAAAUGAAAAAUAGGUUUGUUUUGUGUGAUUGUAAUUCUGGAUUAAUGAGUAUUCGUACUGUAUGAAAUCUUAUUGGUUCAUUGAUAUGAGUUUUUUGUAUUUGGAUAAUGUAGUUUUUUUGCUGGAGAUGCUCUUAAUGUGUUUUGUUUUCAUUCGAGGUUCUCCGCUUAAAAUCUUUUAUUCAUUCGAUGGAAGCUAUUGUUGGAUAUUCUCCAGAUAAAAGUCAGAAUAUGAUUCUUAUGGGUGGUUUAAGAAAACAUGAUUUGCGCAUAUAGUCGGAAAUAUUUCUCAUUAUUAUAGCGGAUCUUUAAAAAAAAAGAUACCUAAAACUAACAUCAUAUAACCCAAUUGAGACAUUGUAGAAUAAGCUAAACCCUUCAUUUAAUCAAUGUUAUUGUUAACUUGUACAGUUCACACUCUUUGGCUCUACCUAAAAUUAUCUAGUACUAGAUCUUUCACAACGAGAUCCAUUUAUACAGUAACGGUAUUUAAUUAUGAAGAUUGGCUGAAGGGUGGUUAUUGGAUCAUUUACCAACCUGAGUCUGAUAGACUCUAUCAUUUAUUUUAUAGAAAAUGAUAUCCCAAUACCAUAGAUAGUUGUAAAACACAGAAAAACCAACAUUCAACAAAUUUAAACAAAUAAGGACAUAAGCCCAAGCCCACAAGGCAUAGUCCCACGCCUUGUCAGCAAUUUUUAAGUAAAAUACUUAAAAAACCAAUCUUUUCUAAAAAAACUACAAAACUGCCAUGACUAAAAAUAUCUUCUCUCUCUGAUCUGUCAUACUCUCUCUCUCUCUGCACACCACACAACGCCGAUCGAAUCCGCCGUAAUUGCUAGAUCGACCUCAUCGAUCGUCUCCGCCGCCUGCUAGAUCGACUCAGCCACCUGCACCUCGCCGAUCGACUCCGCCGCAGCUAGAUCGACGCCGCUGUUAUGAGCUAGGGUUCCGAUUGGGACGAUAUUCCCGAUUUGUGUCCUCAGGUGAGAUUGGGAAUCGACAUGUUGAUAAGGAAUGCGAAUUCGUUCCGAUCUUGAAGCUAGGGAACUAAUCAAAGCUCAGAGAAAUGGACGUGGACUCCUCGAUGGCGCCGGAGGCCGAUCACGAUCCGGCUGUACAGAACCAGAGCACGACGGCGGUGGAUGGGGGAGAACAGCUAGGAGAACAACAGCCUCAGUCUCCGGCUUCCCCGGCGGCGCAACAGCUUCAGUCUCCGGCGUCGCCGCAGUAGACUCCGGUGGCCGGACCGAGGCAUGCCCCGACGUACUCGGUGGUCAAUGCGAUUUUAGAGAAGAAGGAGGAUGGGCCGGGGCUGAGGUGUGGCCACACGUUGACUGCGGUCGCCGCUGUUGGCGAGGAGGGCAGUCCUGGAUACAUUGGACCCCGGCUGAUUCUGUUCGGCGGUGCCACCGCCCUUUAGGGCAAUUCUGCGGCUUCUGGGACUCCAUCGUCAGCUGGAAGUGCCGGAAUAAGUAUGUUGUUAUCUUNNNNNNNNNNNNNNNNNNNNUUUCAGCAAUGACCUUUUCUCAUGAAAUGCUCAUAUCUCAAACUGAGAAUGUGAUAAAUAGAUGAGGCUUCCCUUAGUGGAAAGUAGACUCAUAGAGCUUUCUAACCAUAUGAAGUAGGCCACCUAUCUCCCAACGAGAUAAAAACUAAAGCCGGUCAAAGUUGCCGGUUAGUCAUGAAGUUUGCUGCUGACCCUCAGUCACCAAAAAUGCAAUAUCUGAAGCUCCAGGGGUGAAAAGUGGGUGAGGCCAACUGGAGGAAAAAGUAGACUCACGUAAUCACAUUGUGUUAAAUUUUUACUGACAAAUGAUCUCUGAGUCAAAAUUGGUUGGCCUCGAAACUCACUGAACUGUUCUGCAGAUUCCGCUGUGCCCUGUUUCUGCCCUUUGUUACUUGGAACAUAAUAUCAGUAGCUAGGGAAAUGAAAACUGAAAACUGUUUUACCAGCAUCCACUAGACAUCUGAAGGCACAUCUCUGAAAAAUUUCAGCUCAAAAUGACAUGAUAUGUAGAAGAAGUGCCUCUUCAAAGUCAUUGCACAGUAGCAGUCUCUGUUCUGAUCUCCAUGCUUUGACCAUUUAAUAACUACAGUUCCAGUGACUCAAAGAGGCUGAAAUUUGGAAACAACACAGUAGACAAAUAGGGGUAAUACUCCAAAUAUUUUCAGCUCCAAAUAGCAUCCAUAUGGAAAAAUAUGAUCCCCCAAAGUCGACUGAAAAUCUGGACAGAAACUGUUCGCUUCCCCAUUCUUGCAUUCUUCACAAUUCCGAUUCCAAACACCUCCCAACCUCCCAAAAGUUACUAUAAAGUCUUAUUCAACACAAAAAGAAGAUAAUAAAAACAGGAAUGUUACCGAUGAUGUGCUAGGGUUGCCUCCCUAGCGAGCACUUUGUUUAAGGAUGUCGUUGCCGGUCCAUAAGAUGUGAGUUUCGUCAAGUUGGAUACUUCUCAAGUGCGACCACCCUAUUGUUAGGGGCUAAGGGACCCCUUGACAUAUCAUAGAGGCAUGACCAGGAGCUACAAAAGAAUACUCCAAUUUGAGGCCAAAAGAGUAGCCUCUUAGCUUUCCUCUUCUCAAUUCUACUUUGAGGAGCCAUCCUUACCUUCUCCUUCAAGAUAGAUGUAGAAAUGGUGCUCAUAGGAACAAUAGGUGGUAGAGGCUCUUGGAAGUGAUGGGGAAGUUUGAUCACAAGAGCUCCAUUUCCUUUCCAAUCUAUUACCUCAUUGUAGAACCAUAGACCACUUAAAGGUGGAUUGAGAGGUAAGAUCACCUCAAGCUCAAUCUUCUCAUUAAGUACAAAUAUGCUCAAGGUUCUACAAUUCACCUUGGGAAGCUCAUGAUGGAUCUCCAUGGGUGUGGGAGGAGAGAAAGUCCUAGACUCUUCAACAUCUUUAUCAUCACAAGGCACCAAAGAACCCUCCUCCUCUUUGGGAACAUCACCCUCAAUGAAUAAAGGAUUGNNNNNNNNNNNNNNNNNNNNNNNNNNNNNNNNNNNNNNNNNNNNNNNNNNNNNNNNNNNNNNNNNNNNNNNNNNNNNNNNNNNNNNNNNNNNNNNNNNNNNNNNNNNNNNNNNNNNNNNNNNNNNNNNNNNNNNNNNNNNNNNNNNNNNNNNNNNNNNNNNNNNNNNNNNNNNNNNNNNNNNNNNNNNNNNNNNNNNNNNNNNNNNNNNNNNNNNNNNNNNNNNNNNNNNNNNNNNNNNNNNNNNNNNNNNNNNNNNNNNNNNNNNNNNNNNNNNNNNNNNNNNNNNNNNNNNNNNNNNNNNNNNNNNNNNNNNNNNNNNNNNNNNNNNNNNNNNNNNNNNNNNNNNNNNNNNNNNNNNNNNNNNNNNNNNNNNNNNNNNNNNNNNNNNNNNNNNNNNNNNNNNNNNNNNNNNNNNNNNNNNNNNNNNNNNNNNNNNNNNNNNNNNNNNNNNNNNNNNNNNNNNNNNNNNNNNNNNNNNNNNNNNNNNNNNNNNNNNNNNNNNNNNNNNNNNNNNNNNNNNNNNNNNNNNNNNNNNNNNNNNNNAUAACACAUGGCAUGCAGAAAAAGAUUGUCCUUAAUUGUUAAAAACUGUCCUUAGUUGUUUAACAACAACACAAGUGGAUUUAUUUGUGUUUCAAAUCUUUUUGGAGGAUGUAUAUGUGAUUUGCUAUUUAUUUUAUAUUUCUUCAAUGUAAGUAAGGUAAAAAAAGGCGAAUUCCAUUAUAGAGCCGUAUGCAAUGCGCAAAAGAUGCCUGUACGGUUGUUCAAUUAUAUCUUUUUUGAUUUUUAUUAUUCUUUAUCUAUUCACCUUUCACUUUCAUCAUGAAAGAUAGAAGAAACAUUUUUUGUGUUAUAUCAUAUAUUAUAUCAUUAGGGUAGCCAUUCCGCCCAUUUCGUCGAGAUAAACAAGUCGUAUUCUGUCAUAACUCGUUCCGGCCAAGAAAAAAAACACAGCACCAAUAAAUAUGUGAGAAAUUAUUUGUAAAAUUGUCCCAUUGAGCCCUGUAUCGCUUAUAGAACCAAUUCCUAUAAUUAUGAACCCAUAUGAGAUACUAAAGAAUAGGCUAUUCUUUUUUUAAUCAGAUAAGAAGGGCAGUACAACCCGGAACAAAAUGAGGAUAAUGUAUUGGCAAGAAUGUUAGACCAUAAAGAAGCUAUCAUAUCCCAUUUAAGUUGUGUCACACCCCAAUUUUCGAAGGAUAAAUUUCAAAAAUUUGGGUAUGAUAUAACUCACAAAUCUUAAUAUCCUAAAACCUGCUCAACAACUUCCAAACUAAAUUCAAAUACUGGAAAUGUAAAUGUCAACAAUUCAUCAACCGAGUUAAACAUUACAUCUCCUUAAUUACAUCAACUUCAAAAGUCUAAUAAUAAUAAAGUCGCUCACAUGAGCUUAAAAACAAACUGCCAUAAUAAAAUAAAAUAAAAUUCACAGAAACUAAAAUCCUGCCACUAUGCCUCCGCCUCAACCCUGCUAAUCAUCACCUGUAGGUCUAACCUCUACACCAUGAAUUGGUGCACCGGGUUGUAAACAACAAACCCAGUAAGCUAAAAAGCCGGUAUGAGUAACUCUAAAAAAUAACUCAACCUAACAUCACAUAGAAUAAUACGGAAAUUUUCCCAUAUUUAUAUGCACAAGACAUAGUAUUCCCACAAGAAUAACCUAUCAAGAACCAAAAAUAUUAUAAUUUCAUGAACCUUAAAAAUAAUCAUAUAAUAGGAAAACUUGUUUUAUCUUACCUAUAAGCCGUUUGCGAUCAAGCUCAUAUAUUUUAAAACAACAAAAAAUAAAAUUUUUAAAUUAAAAACAUCAUAAUCAUCAACAAUUGCAUCAUUAAAAUUCAUCAUCAUUUUAUCAUUAUAAACCUUAUCAUCAUCAUCCUCUUAAUUAUCAUAAUCAUCAUCACAAUAACCAUAAAUAAUUGGUCUAAAUAUGAACUUUGGUGAGAUUUACUCACCUAAAUAUUCCCGUUGCGUCUUCACAAUAAACUCAAGAGCCAAGCUCAAAUCAAUUCCACAAGCUACCUAAUUAACACAAUUGAUAGCCUUUAAUUAGCACCUUCAGAUUAAAGGAUAACAAAACACCCUCAAACUAACCUUAGCCCAAAAGAGGACAACCUGUCACACCCCAAUUUUCGAAAGAUAAAUUUCAAAAAUUUUGGCAUGAUAUAUCCUAAAAUAUUAAAAUCCCAAAACCUGUUUCAACAAAAAUCAAGGAAAAUAAACUCAAUGCGUAAUGUAAAUUUACACACAACACCAAAUUGAGUUAAAUUACAAUUCCUUUUUUACAUAACUUGAGAACAAGAAAAAGAAACUCUCACAUGAGUUUAAUAAAUCAUAACCCAGUGUAUAUAAAAAGAAUAUACAAUGAACAACCAAAACCCAACAAAAAAAACCCUGCCACUAAGCCUCCACCUCAACCCUGCUGAUCCUCACCUGCAGGUGUAACCCCUACACCAAGAAAUGGUGCACCGGGUUGUAAACAACAAACCCGGUAAGCUAAAAAGCUCGUAUGAGUAAACUAAAAAACAACACAACAUUUAAUCACAUCCAAUAUUCACAAGAGAGAUUGGAUCAAUAAUUAAAAACCACACAUCUAACACAUUACCCAAGAAAUGUACCCAUGAGUCCCAGAUAUUUAAUAAAAUACCCCUCAUGACCUACAACAACACUAUGUGUACCCAUGAGUCCCAGAUACUAUACAGUAUCUCCCAUGACCUACACUGACAGACGGACUAGAGCUCUAUUCCUAACAGCAACCAAUCACCCGGCCAAAGGCUUGGAACCCGGUUUGACUGUCUAAUAUCAAACACAAAAAUGAUAAAUAGCAUCUUAACCGCAACCAAUCACCCAAAAAGGGCUUGGAACCCGGUUUGGCUAUUUAUCAAACAAUCAUAAUAAAUUUCACAACCUUAUCCUCAACAACACUAUCACAAUUAUUAUUCUCAACAACAUAAUAUAUAUCACAUCAUUAUUCUCAACAUCACAAUAUAAAGAAGACUUGUUUUUAUCUUACCUAUGAGCCGUUGGCAAUCAAGCUCAUAUAUUUUUUUAAAACAAUUAAAAGCAUAAUAUUAAAACCAACAUCAUCAUCAUUAUUAUUAUCAUUAGGUUCAAAUGUGAACCUUGGUGAGAUUUACUCACCUAGAUAGCCCGCUGCGUUUCCGCAAAACACAAGAGCAAGCCAACUCACAAUUUCACAAAUCACCUAAAAUAACACACAUAUUAACCUUAGUAACAAACACAACAAGGAUCAAAGUACUCUUAACUUAAAGGUUGCCCCCAAGAAGGGAAAUCCUUCCUCCAAGACCUCCCAAGGUCAUUGAACACUUAACAACAACCAAACUACCUUCAAGAUCAAACUUUCUAAGUUUUCGAUCUAAUGAACACAAUUAAACUUAAGUCCUAGCAUGCCAACCUUGCUUAAAAUAUAGCCAUACUACUACUCAACAAGCUCACAGCAGCAAGGACUAGCUAACCAUAGGAAACUAAGGCCGCCACUCAGCCGGACGCGCAGCCACAGGCGGCGGCGAGUGGGCCCCACGCGCCUCCCUAAACUUCCGAAUUUGAGAAAACUCCUAACAACAAAGUUGAAGCUUGAAGCAAGGGGAACAACUUUCAUACCUGAGACUUCGACCAAAAAUGGCCGAAACCGGCCGGAAACCGUCCCGAACAGUGACCAGAAAAUCAAUGACAAAAUCUGCAAAACCGGCCUCAAAACCUUAAAAACUUGCUUCAAUCUAUGCCUAAACACUACCAGGGGAAGGAGAGGAUCAAGACUCACCUAAGGAUGUACCUCGUCGCCGCCGUAUACGGCAGCUCCGACCGUGGCACAACAGCCCUUUUUCCGACUACUAAGCUUCGGUUCCGGCGUGCUACACCGAGCAGCAGCUGCCCAGCCUUGGAGAGGACGCUUGUGGGAGCCGAACGGGACCGGUGGAGGUCCAAACGGUGGCCGGACGGCGGAGCUAGCUCCGGCAGAAAUUUGGUCCUCGGGGGAGCUCGGGAGAGGAAGAGAGGGAAGGAAAAGAAGAGAGAAAAAAAAAGAGUGAGGAGAGAGAUAGAGAGAGUGCUGUUUUUAGUGUUAGGGUUUCCAAAAAUAACCCACACACAUUUUCCUACUUAAACACUUUCCACACCUGGAACCUAACUUCCUUUGACCACAACUUUCUCUCCCAACUUCCGAUUUAAGCGUGCCGCGUGUCUACGAACUCGUAACGACUAAAUAAGGCUGCCUCCAAUCCUCAAAACCUAAACUCAAACCUCACACAAGCCUAAGCUUAAGCUUAAACUUAAUGUCCUAACAUGAAAUCUUUGCUCACAACCUAGAAUUUUCACCUCUCAACAUGCUCACCACAGCAAGAGCUAGCUAACCACAGCAAACUAAAGCCAUAAACAAUGCCGGAUGUGCUGCCACGUGCCGCCACAGCAGCGGCGAGUGAGCCCCACGCUCCUCCACCAACCUCAAAAUUUGGGGAAACUCACAACAGCAAAGUUGUAGAUUGAAGCAAGGUGAACAACUUUAAUACUUGAGGUUUCAACCAGUUCAGCUGGAAAACGCUUCGAAACACCACCCCACAACCAAACUUCGAAUCUGCAAAAACCAGCGCCCAACUUCUAUUUUUAGGUCACCAAAGAGGCAUAAACAACUCUAGGCAAAGGAGGAGAGCAAGACUUACCAAGCCUCAACCAAAUUCGCCGUCGGAAGAAGAAAAUCCGGCGAUGUAGACCGGAGCUUCACCAGCCCAGUGCUCCUCCUCUAGCUCCAGGCACGGCGUCGCACCACUACAGGAGGGAAGAGAGUGGCCGUGCGAUCCAAAAGAGACCAGUGGCGGCCGAAACGGUGGCCGGACGGCGGACUUCCGGCCGGCGAAAUUCCUGGCAUGCGUGAGGCGUCGGGAGCUCGGGAGAGAGGAGAGAGAAAGUGAAACUGAUUUUUAGGGUUUCUAAAAAUAACCCACAACACUUUUUUACUUACACACUUUCCCAAAUCUGGAAACUAACUUUCUCUGACCAUAACUUUCUCAUACAAAGUCCGUUUUACGCGUGCCACGUGUCUACAAACUCAUAUCGUCGUGCUCUACAACUUUUGUUAAGGAAGUUUCUCGAGAAACCCAACAGAUUAAAAAGUCAACUCUUGACCCUUCAAAAUAACGUAUUUCUAACAAAGAAAUCUCUCGAACACCUCCGCUCUUCCUUCGAACCUCAAAACACACUAACUUCUAACUCAAAAAUUCUCAAAUAAUAUUAGAAACUAAUAUUAAUAUUCCAAGGUAUUACAAGUUGGGCCAGUCUCUUAAAUGUAUUUUUAAUGUAUGCUCUCUCAUGAAAUAAACAAAAUUGAACUUUCGUGAUAUUGUCUUUCCUUCUGGCAUUUUGUUAUUAGGUUUUGGAUUGAUGACUAAGUUAUACAUUAUAAUUGUUCUAAAUGUUAGCUACCUAUAAAUGACUACCCUAUUUCUUUUUUAUUCUGUAGUCAUGAAACUAAUGUUUUUCUUUGGAUUUUUCAGGUAACAAUAACUUUGGGUUGUUGGAAGACUUUGAAGAGGGCAAAUGAGUUUUAGCAAGGUACACCGUUUCUAAUCAUAUUACAUCUUCAGUUCUUAAAAUAAAUUUUAGUUUUUUAAUGAUAGUGCUUGCAUUUCAUCCACGAUGCUGCCAAGCAGAACUUGCAAGACUGCAGACUUCAUUUCUUAAAUCACACCACAAGUGCAAAGCAGAGACCACAUACAUAUGCAUUUGAAAAAAAGUGUGGAAACAAAUAUAUCUCAAAAUAGGUAGACAAUAUAAACCUGACAAUGCUAAUUACGUGUUAACCUUGUUUUUUUUUUUCAUAUUGGACUCUUAAUUGGCCCUUAUACCUUAUGACAAUGCUAAUGCAUUUGAUCAGCUUUUUCUAUACAACAAUGCAGGCAUUCUAGAUUAUGACAUGAAUGUUUUGAAAAUGUUAUCCCCUCAAAGUAUGAGGUCCCGAUGUGGCUCAGAACUUAUGUUUAACUUUGAUGUAUAUGUUCUUAGAUUGAUUUUCCAUUUCAAGUAGUAAACUAGCUCUGCCAAAAAAAAAGGUAAUAUAUUAGGAGGAAUGUUUAUGCUUUCUUUUCUUUUUCUUCCAUCCUUCUAAUAUUUAUACAUUCUGACUUGGACUUUCUAUUUAUCAGCACGAUCUCAUUUGUAUUAACUAAUGCUAAUGUCAAAAUCUCAAACACGCAAUAUUACAGUACCUACUUGGUCUCAUAGCCAAGAUUUAUAGCUCUGCAUCGUUAUGUACCCGUUCAAUAUUUGUAGCCAAGGUUUAUAUCAUAUUUCUCUUCUUUUGCAUUUCAUUAGCUCAUAAGCCCUUCAUAUUGUACUACAUAGUCUAGGUCAAUAGGCCCUUCAAAUUGUCCUUGAUGCUACAAAACACAAGGAGGAUGUAUUUAAGUCUUUAACCCGGGGCAUACACUUGCAGUUUGGAACAUAGAUCUAUUCAAGUUAUAAACAGUUGGCACACAAAUCGAGCUGCAUCUACCUAAAAUGUUCAAUGAAUAUGUGUGAUGUGCAAUUUGUAGUUGAGAUGCUGNNNNNNNNNNNNNNNNNNNNUACUUAUUUGAUUAGAAAAGGAAAAAAAAAAAGAAAGUAUCUUGGCCAAAGAAAUGAAGAUUCAAUGCAGAAACCUCAAUUCAUUACUAUCAAUAUAAUAAACUAACAUCUGAACAUUAUGUUUGUUCAUUCCUUUCAAUACACGCAGCAUUUUUCUAUCACCGUCAUGAAACUCCUACAAUAUUGAUUACUAAAGAAUUUGCAAAUCAGUAUCAUUCUUCUUAACAGAGUUACAACAGCUGUAGUUAGACCAAACAAUAUGAACUCACUCAUAUAUCUAUUUCUUCAAACCCCCAAUUUGCAAUUGCCUUAGAAAAAUUGCCCAAAUCGAUAAAAGUAUACCUGUUCAAAACCAAAACCACUCACGCUGAAUCUUGAGGUUUCAGUACCUCAGAAGAAAAACUCUACAAACAGUAGGAAAAGUUUGGAAAGAUCAAUGUUACUGUAGUCAUUAUUACAUUAUAGUUAAGUACGUAAUGUUAGCAGAUUAAUGACAAGUAGUUAUAUAUACAAUUCUCUCUUGGUUUUCGAAAGCCCUCUUUUUCAGUUUAUAACGAUCCCAGGCUUUUGGUUAUUCAAAGCCACUGUGAGUUCCUAUUGUUAUAUCAACACCACAUUUGUAAGUCAUACUUAAAAUGAAAACAGCAGUAAAAUGAUGACAAAUUUUGUAAUCACUCAACAGCAUCAAUAUUUGCAGUACUAACCUGAAAACAAAAACUUCCCCUUUUUUUCUGUCUUUUUUUUCGAAUUCAGACUUCCUUUCUUUUUCUCUAUAGAAACCGAGAUAAUAAAAUUUGUAUUAGUUGUAAUUCAAGGAAAUUGUUGUUGUUCACAUCGAUGUAAGAGAAUAAACAAACUUUAUAUACUUGCAGAUGCAAACCUACCAGAUAUGUGAAACAGAAAGAUGUCAUUGCUGAAUUUCAAAUCCUUAUCUUACUCUAUUUGACGUUGCACAUUUCAGCAAAAUAAGAUGUAGCGAAGAAGUUACUUUAUAAACAAAGACAUGAUGAGACCGAAAACAGAAUUAGGACAUGCACUUUGAUGUAAAGUUAAUCAUGAAAAGAUUCUGCUGUGACACAAUUUCUAGACUAGACCCACAUGCACCAAAAACAUGACAAACCCAGAAGCCAACAGAGUGAGAUUUGAGGGCAAGCAUACCGGGAAGCUAAACAUAAUCGCAACUUCAAGCCUAACCUUUUCAAUUUUAAAAGAUCCUGCAUUCUAAAAUGGACCAAACCAUUAUCAAAACAUUCAGAAUUCUAUAUAGGCUAUACAGUGUCUAGGAACAUUCACAAUUAUUAAAACCAAUGAGGAGGUUAUACCUAUUGUUACAGCUAAUUCCUUCGCUUUACAUCAUCUUUAAAUACCUACAAAUCGUAAGAUUGAAAACAUGAACAAACAUAAAGCAAUUAUAGUAGAACAAAAUAUGAAAAGUAAUCAACUACAUCCAUCAAACUGUAAAACAUGAUAGCCAUACCUUCAUACCUUCCCAAUCAAUGACCAAUAUCCCAAAGCCAUAGCCGAGGAUAAUCCAAACCCCUGAAACGUAAAUUGUGAUAUCAAUUGAAAUCCAAUGAAAAAGUGAAACCAAAGUACACAAAACNNNNNNNNNNNNNNNNNNNNUCUACGGAGGAAGUUUGUAAUGUUUUCUAAUAGUUCUUAUUAAUUAUUUGACCGGAGACAAAUACAUUUUUUGACUGUAUUGUUGCAUGUAACGUAAACUAAUGUUAAAAGCGAAAAAAUAUUAAACGCACGCGUGAGCUAGACCCUUUCUAAAUAAUAUAUUGCACACAUAGAAACUUUCUUUGUGAUAUCAAACAUAUAUUUUAAACUUUCCCGAUGACUAUCCUUGUGAUAUCAAACAUCGAAAUUUAGAGUUUUUGUAAUAUCUCAAUAUUUCAUUUCCGUAAGGAGAAAUUUUAUUCACACGUACUAAAUUUCUUAAUGCACACCAUUAUUUUUUGGAGUCACCACGGCUGGAACUGCACAAGGGCUUAAACUUUCUCUGAUCAAGCCUUUCUUCAUUGCUCCCCCUAGCCCCUGCAGUUAAGCAGCAAAAACCCAGCCUUCCUCAUCAGUAUACCCGUUUCUAAAGUUCUUAGAAAAAAAAAAAAAACCGACUGCUCCUCAAACUACUCAGACCUCAUUUAAAUCAAUAAUAAAGUAAAAUGACAUUAGACAUAAAAAAUAAUAUUUAAAUAAAUAAAAUCGGGACAUCACACAAAUGAUAACCCAUAACAAACAUUGAAAUCAAACAAAGAAUUACCCAGAUUGCUACGCCAAUUGACUGCACAUGAACAACAGAAAAGCAUUGCACUAUAAUAAGAGGAUGGUGAAAAACAGGAAAGAAGAUUGAAGCAAUUGAGCUAGUACUUACAUUCACCAUAUUUAGUUUCCAGCCAGGUCCAGUUAUCUCUCUAAUUUUGUAUUCUGGUGGCACUCGAGAGCAAAAAGAAGAAAGAAAGAAAAAUCAGAUUGAAACUCAGAUUAAGCAAAGAUGAAAAUUAAAUCAAGCAGAUGAAAGCUAAAGUUUUUUUUUUUUUUUUUGAAGCCACUCUACAAUUGAUACAAUUUUCUUUAUUUCGGUACAUUGCAGGUAAAAACUGUAACUUGACCUGAAAAACUGCUUAAAAAUGAAACUCAAAUUAGCAAGCUAUGUACUGGAAUUCGGUACAAUCACUAAGCCUUGGCAAUGUGCUUUAUGUUGAAUGCUCUUGAUAAUUAUUAUUAUGUAGAACCACACAUUAUAUUUAAGUGCGCAUGUAAAAUAAGCAAAAUGCACAGGACUAAUGUGGGUUAAACAGUAAUACCUCAACCAUGAGAACACCAGGCAUAAAGUUCUCAUUGAUUGUCACAUCUUAAUAAGCAACAGUUGAAACCCCUGGGUUGUACUCGAUCUCUCUAUCCACCAAAAGAAAUGGAAACCUGUAAAACACCCAAAAGCCAAAAUGAUCAAAACUUUAGAAACAAUCACUAAAUUUUACUAGGCCUACCUAUAUUCUCUUCCAAGCUCACAUAAGUAAGUAAAAUCAUUAAAUGAGUUUUGUAGAGCAUUUUGAUAAUAUGUAAGGUUUAUACUUUCUGAAGGAAUUUGUAAUCUAAGAAUACUAACUAACUAUCAAGUAGGUGUUUAGGCAUUCAUUUGUAUGUUGGGCGGUAUAGUGAAAAUCAACUUCUUUUUAAAUCUGCAAAUAGUAUACCUUCACUCACAUUUCCAAAUAAUAGAUGAAAUGCAGGGCUCACAUUGUGCAUCUCACACAUAUGGCAUGUAAAUUGCAGUCUAUGAAUUGGAUAUACCUGUGACGCAGACCACUUUUCAACACUUCUUUUCAAGCAACAACAGCUUGUACCUGAAGCAACGCAUAUAGAAAAAGCACAUAAGCGUAAGAGCAUAGGCAACUAUAAGCGCACUUUAACAGUUAAGAAAAAUUAACAAUAUCAUUUCCAUAGGGUUUUCAUCUGAUGAAACUUCUACCCUAAGAUUGGGUAAUGUAAAUCAUAUACAGAAAAGCUGAAAACUGAAUAACUCAAUNNNNNNNNNNNNNNNNNNNNAACAGCUCUUCACUAAAGCAUGAACAAAAGCGAAGAAGAACGCAAUCGACUAAAAAAGAAAAAACAAAAUCGGACCACCAACUAAGAAGGAAAUCCAAGAAAAAUUCGAACCAAACAGAACCUAAAAGAAAAAAAAAAUUUGAACAGUGAAUUGGUGAUAGCUAUACCGAUUUGCAGGCACCGAUAUGAUUCAACAAAACCACUUCAAACCGCAGCAAUCUGUCAUCCCAAAUCGAAAACCAAUCACCCGAAUCGGUCUGGUAAUAAGGAUGAUCAAGAGAAGAGAAUAAUUGUGAUCGAUGAACAAAAGGAAAGAUAAUAGACGAACCAAAAAGAAAGAGAAAAGAAAUUUACAAUAGAUAAAAGAAGGCUUACUCCGCUCUACUCAACUCUCGUUUCCUAUACUAUAUCGAAACAGAACAAGGGAGAGGUGGAGAGGUGGAGGCUCGGCUUAACAGAAUUAGGUGGAGAGAAGAAGAUUGGGCAAGAGAGAGUAUGAAGAAAGUUCGCGAACACAUCACUCUGUUUGUGCUAUGUCAUGGGGGGCUAAACGCUGCUCUCUUUUCUCUCUCAAUUUUUUUGGGUCGAUUUUCUCUCAAAUUCUCUAGGAUCUUCUUUUCUCUCUCUGCGUUUCUGGAAACUGAGUAAAACAGAGCAAAAUGCACUAAACCUUGGAAUUCAGUCCUUCAAUGAAGUUCUGAUAUUUCAAAAAUGCACAGACAGAUAGUUCUCUCUCCAAUUUUGUAUUCUGGUGGCACUCAGAUAGCAAAAAGAAAGAAAAAUCAGAUUGAAACUCAGAUUAAGAAAACAUGAAAAUUAAAUCUAGCAGAUGAAAGCAAAGUUCUUUUUUUUUUUUGAAGCCACUAUCAUAUACUGGAAUUCGAUGCAAUCGAUCAUUGAGGUCCUAGACUACAGCACAAACAAUAACCCGAAUCAGCUCAAAUCAAGGAAACAAAAUACCCAGUCAAAAAUCACAAUCUGCAUCACAUACAUUCUUCAUCAGCAUACACGAAAAUCAAACCCAAAACUGCAUGCACAAAAGUCAGAUAUGUUAAUCAUUCAAUUUAAUUCAAUCUUAUUAGUGUUAAACAUGCAUCGACAUCAAAUAAAAAAAAUGAAAUUGAAACCUGGAAACGAAUAAUGAAGCCGUCCUUUUUAUCGAUGUGAAUUACCCAGACUGCUAAGCCAAUUGACCAGACAUGAACAACAGAAAAAGCAAUUCACUUUAAUAAGAGGAUGGUGAAAAACAGGAAAUAAGAUCGAAGCAAUUGAGCUAGUACUUACAUUCACCAUAUUUAGUUUCCAGCCAGGUCCCGUUAUCUCUCCAAUUUUGUAUUCAGGUGGCACUCAAUAGCAAAAAGAAGAAAGAAAAAGAAAUUAAUAUAUAAUCUUGUACAUACAUGAUUGAUAUAUAAUCUUCUAAAACGAUUAUACAAAAAUUAGGAAGUUCUACACACCUUUGUGCAUUCAUAUCUACCUCAGUUCUGAUUGCUUCCAAAGAGUGUCAUCAGCACCCAUAUGAGACUUGAGUACUCUGUCAGUAUCUAGUUGCCUGCUCCCAUGUGUUGCCUGAACCAAAAGAUGCAUUCACCUGGCUAGUCCACCCACCACCCCCAGCUGUGGACAACUAUAUAUCUGCAUACACAUUUGAUGAAUUUAGAAACAUGAGAUACGCACAAACACACAAGCAUGAAGAGAUCAUGAACAAUCAAACCAAAAUUAUUGACAUGUUAACCUUUGCAAAAUAUAAAACGUAGAACAGUUGUUAAGAUUGAUUAUAACAUGAAGUUGACAAAAAGAUAACUGAAAUAAAAAAGAGAUAACCUUUCUCAUGAAAGCCAAAGAAACGAAUGUCUAUAAUUUCUUGACCACUAUACAAAACUUUGUGAGCCAAAAGCUAAAAUGACUAAUGAAAGGAUAUAGUUGGGGCAAGAAAAUUCAGCUCUCUUUAUGGCAAUUGUAGGGUGGAGGUCAAAAAGAAGAUUGAUCUCUGUGUUAAAUUGUUUCUCCAAUCGUGCUGCCAAGAGGUAUGAAAUACAAAAAGGGGUUUAGGACCAACAAGCUCAAUUUCAUAUAUUACAUGGCGGGCUCUCACGUUGACAACACCGGAUGAAAGAAGGAAUUUAAGUCGCAGGAGGUUGAUCCUCAACAUCAGUCCUAUUAGCCUGAAAACUGAAAUUAAGCAAACUCAGGUUACAGUCGAUUAAAGCGUAGGGGCCUCAAAGGUGCUCCGCAAUCGGAAGAUGUCAGCAGAAGCAAUCAAAAAAAGAAAAAAAAUAACAAGAUAGAGAUAAGAGGGCUACCUGAAACUGUUCCAGCUUCUUGGAUGGUGUAAGCUCCUUCAUCCAAGUAGUACGGCUUUUGAUCAAGGAAAAUAAGUAAUUAUCAUCAGCAACAAAUCACAAUCACACAACCGAGACCAAAACAGACACCAAACCAAAAAAGAAACAAAUCACCUAUAGUUGAAAUCUGGAAACCGUAAGGUAGAAGAUCAAGUGAUUCAUCAUCUGCCAACAAAUCACAAUCACACAACUGAGACCUAAACAGAUACCAAACCGGAAAAAAUAAAAAGUAGAAACAAAUCCACCAAUAGUUGAAAUCUGGAAACCGCGAGGAAGAAGAUGAAGUGAUUCAGAACACCGCUGGCUGUUAGGUGUUACCUGAUCGUGAGUACUGACUGUAAUACUCAAACUCGUACUCCAUCAGUCAAACUUGUACUCAUUCUUCAGUUCAUCUCUUUACAUCAGGAUAAUCCACAAAACAGAUACUUGAAUUAAUUUUGGCUUAAAGUAAGAGUGCUGAUCUAAAAGUGAAUACAAUAUUUAGUGUGAAAGACGAAUUCCUUACCAGAUUUAUAGGAUCUAAACCAGAUUGUCUUUCCACAGGUUCCAGAGCUGCACAUUUACCUCAGGAUAAUCCACAAAACACAUACUUGAAUUAAUUUUGGCUUAAAGUAAGAGUGCUGAUCUAAAAGUGAAUACAAAAUUCAGUGUAAGAGAUGAAUUCCUUACCAGAUUUAUAGGAUGUAAACCAGAUUGUCUUUCCACAGGCUCCAGAGCUGCACAUUAAUCACCAGAAAGAAUUUUAAGCACAUUUAAUAGUAAACUCCAACAGUUUUUUUUAACCUUAACAAUACUAAAAGCAAAAGUAAACAAGCAAUCAUAUGAUGAACCUUAAAAACAAAGGAACCCAUGCUUUUAAGGCCUCUUGCUGUGACUGAACCCCUGCAACAUUGAUACCAUGUACAAAUGAAAGGAAUAUAUUACAAAACUGAUACAGCAAUACUGAACUUGAAGACCAUGACCAAGUUGAAAAAUCCAUGUUGAUAUGUAUCAUUUCAGUUGGGAUAAAAUCAAGCUAUCCAUAUCCAUAUAGAUGCAACAGCAUGUAUAUCAAACCUAAAACUCACUUUCCAAGCAUCAGUUUUCAUAUCUAGUCAGUCCCAUUAAUCCAAUUAAUACCAGCUCUCUAUAUUCACAACCUUCCCAAAGCAAACACCCAAAUUAUAAUCAAUGCACAUUGCACUUCAGAUUAGUACUGUAUCUGUUCUUAAUUGAGCUUACAUCAAUACUGAUAUCUGAUUGAAGUCUUUAUUAGACUAACACAUACUUUAUAAAAGCAAAAUUGGAACUUAAAUCAGAUAAAACAAAAACAGAGUUCUAACAAUACUCAUCUUUACUGCACCCGUGUCACCAAUCUGUCCAAGCUCUAGUCUUUGCUUGAGCCACACAGCUUCCCCAGAAGUACCAACCUGAGUAUACAAACACCAAUUACAUCUAAGGGAAUAUUUAGAAACUCGAUAAAAAACUUUCUGAUACCCCAAGAAUCUACACACCGCGAGCCAACACACGAUAUCUAGCUGCCAGUAACACUUCACCUGAGCAAUUCCCUAGGAAUCAUGAAGGACAACAACAAUUUUAGAUGCUAAAAUUAAUAAAUUUUAGCAAUUCCAUAAGAAAUUUUAAAUAUUUUACUGCAUAUAUUCUUUCUCACAAACUCACCUUGAUCUAACACAAAGGAUUGAAACCUUCAAGAUUGUGAUUGCUUUUGUUAAAUCAAAAAUCAGUGAGCUGCAUGCAACUUCAAUGAUAAAAUAUGGUGAUCUAAAUUGUUGUAUAAUUUGAAAUCACUUGUAAUAUACAAAAUCUGAUAGUUAUAGUUGAUCAAUUUCAAGUUGCAUGCAACCAUAUCAACUUUAUAGCUGAUAUCCUUGACCUUUACUUAGGUGCACUUGAUGUCUCUGUUGAUUUUUGAUGAGAACAUGAAAUUCUCAUUAAGCCACAAACGGGCAAAGAAAAACAGAAGAAACGCUGAAAAGAAAAACACGAGCACUGGAAACAACCAAGCUAGGCUAGCAAAACUAAGCAAAACAACACAAAGAACACAGAAAACACAGCAGAACUUUAUAUUGUUUUAUUCUUAUGCAGAUUGUAUAGAAUUUUCAAUAUGGUCAUAUUCUAGUCUACAACGCCCAAUUCCCUAUUUGGUUAUAUGAUAUAAUCAUGCCUAACUGACAUGGACUUGACAAGAAUUACAGAAUGAUAUUAGAAGGAAUAGUUCAUAGACAACUAACCGUAUAAAGUCGGUAACCAUUCAUCUCCUGACGGACAAAAUACACAAGACUCUGUGGCCAAGUUGAUCCACUGGUCAAGCACAUUAGAUGGCUUUUGUAGAGUGGCUUGAUCAAUAGGGACAGAAGGGGCAAACCGUUCAAUCUCAAGUCUCUUUGCAUUCUGAACAAGGAACCUAUAGGCAUUGUGCCAUGGGAGAAAUAUGUCCUUGACCUGAAAUUAACCAAAGGUAAAAGUACCACUGGAUCAAUUCAAAGAACAAAGAUCAACAAACAGCACUCCAAUAUGAAAACAAUAAUACCGGAAUAGAUGAAUGACACUCAGAACACAAUAAACUCCUUCCUUCUUGAAACGUAAUGGUUGCGCGCGCACAACAAGGAGUUAAUUAGGUAUAAUUGUACUGCAUCUUGCACAACAGAAAUUUGAUUAGACAUGAUUUUUGUGAAAUAUAUCAUCUUCCCACCAUUUGACAAAGAAACCAGGAAGAGAAAAGGCACAGAAACUAUAAUACGAACCGUCAGUUACAAUAAACACAUACAGCUACGUACUGAUCGAUAACAUCAAUUGGUGGAGGAAAAUUUUUCAGACUUUCUCAUUUUUUUUCCAUCCUCAGCAAGUACAAGUCCAUUGCAAAUGAGAUUCUGCAAGGCAGGUUUGCCAAAUAAUGCAGUAGAUAACACCAUAAGUGUGUGAAACCUGCAUACUCAGAAGGAAACAAUGAGGCCUAGCUUAGACAUUGGAAACUUGUGCCCAAGUUAGGAUAACAGCUGACACAAAGGAAUCUAAUCCUACAAUAGGCAGCCGACAGUCAUUAUAUUAAUUAAAAAGAAAAAGAAACAACUUAUGAACAGGCAAAAGGGUUUUCCUAUUAGUUACCAAAAUAAACUCCCUAUUAUGUUUCCAACUGUACAUCAUAUUUUUUGGAGUCUUCAUCUAACACUCGAAUUCAUGUUAGUUCGAGGGCCUGAAGCUUGGGAAGGGCAAUCUACAUUAGAUAUCUGUGAACCUUUCUGAGGGUAGAUCCUUCUCCCUUCAUAAGUCUGCCAAUGAAUCUGGAGAAUGGUAUCAAAACUAAUAAAAGAAAUAUAGAGGAAGAACAGAGGACAAAUGUUUGUCUAGUGAUGAAAUCAGAUGUUGUAGAUGAAAAAUAAGUAGCUGAUUUAUCAUACCUGAAAAAUUUAAAGAUAAACAGUUGUUCAGUUCCUGAAACACCUAUAAUUUCAGUUAACCCCUAAUGAAUUGUGAAAGGAGGCUGACCUGAGAGUCGUUCCAAUACCUUAAGUCAGAAUUAUUUGACAAUGAUAGAAUAUCUUACAUCAAAAAAGAAAAAAAAAAAAAAAAAAAAAACCAAAACUGAACUCAGCAUAAACCAAAAGGUCUGAUCAAUCAAAGAUCAUAACGAAGAAAAAGAAAAUUGAGGGAAAAGAGCAAAAGUGGUUUUCAGGGAAUGUAACAUGACUGCAGACUCUCUUGCCAAGACAAGCAUUGAUCAUGCUCCGGAUCAUAUCACCUUUGAGAAUCCUCCCGUUCAUGCUAUUGCUGCCUAUUUAGAUGAUUUGGAUGGUAUUGCUAGAUCAAGAAAGUCUGGGAACUCUGCAGAGUGGAACAAUGGAAAGAAAGGGCUAGUAAAAAAAAAAAAAAAAAACCGACAGUGCCCCACAAGUCUCAUAUACAGAACUUGAAAUUUAUACAUUAGAGUUUGAGGGAAAAGAAAUAAGGCUAUAGGUGAGCAGAAAAGUAUCCUAACUAAAGUGUAUUAGCAUAUAAAUAGUUCCAUAAAGAAAUUUUUGUUGAAAAUUAACUGUCCCAAACGAAUUCCUAAACCCAUCAUGAAAGUGAAAGCUACAUCUAAUUGCAUUAGGGACCUGCAAAUAAGACAUUUUUUCUAUUUCUGUAACCUGAUACUACAACUACCUCCCAGUAAAUAGAUUAGAAUGUCUCUUUUCUCGUCAAUCGCCUUGCUUAACUGUUUCCAAAUAUCUACCCUUCACAUAUGCACUUGCUUCCCAAGAAAUAGUAUCUCUAUACAGUUCCGUCACCAUCUGGGUCAAUGGCUUAGCACCAAAUAUAUACAAACUUGCACCAGAUUAACUGGCCCGUAACUAGAAAAAUUUCAAACGUUUAAUGAAUUGUUUUGUAGCCCUAAGAAUAAUUCCCCAAUUAUAGAAUUCUGGCAGUUCCGUCUAUAUUUUUUUCGAACACUAGCACAGAAAAGUACCCGGACCUUAUGACUUAUAUUUGUCAGAAGUAAAACUAUUUUCGCUUAGAAAGGCCUCUUUAAUUACCUUAAUUUGACUUGUUUGAUGUGUUGUCGAGUUGAGUUCAUCAAACCCCAAUUCACUUUCUCUAACAUGAUCCUACUAGAUACAUGCUAGAGAAAGAGGAUGGAAAAGAAACCUCAUGGUCGAAACAAGAAUCUUGAGCCCAAUGGUAAUCAUAGCCAAAGCUUACCAUACGCAAAAUAUAACUGUCUCAGACAAGAAAAAGAGAUGUAAGGAUUACAUAUAAUAUACCUGUACACAAAACCAAAAUGCAACAUGUGUCGUUGCUCAUAUCUUGUUUGCUUAAUUUCAACUUUCUGAACCUAUUUUACCAACGCAGUCAGUGAAAUCAGUAAAAAUUUGCAGAUGUGCAAUGGACCUAGAAAUUUAUUAUUAAAUUGUACAAGUUAUUAUCAGCAAAAAGUGGACAUAGGGGACUAUCUGAAACACUGUUAUAGUUGAGAUGGACAUUAAUCAAAUCACAAGUUUAGUAUGGAGAUUGGUUUCAAACUUCCAGCAGUAAGUGGUAAGGCCUAUAUCUUAAAGCUAUUCUGUUAUCCUAAGAUACGCAAGGCUGAACAUGUUACUUUUCAUUAGUACAUAACUAGUUGCUAAAAGAAGUGGAAAUGAAUACUUACUUAACUAUCACAUGUCCAUUAGUGUUGGAGUGAAUCCUUAAGGAAAGAGGCUCAAGUUCAAAAUAUGAGAGAAUUAUCACAUGUCGAGCAACCAAACUUUACCAAAGUACUUUUGUUAGGAAGAUAUACUCGCGUUCAAGAACUCAAGGUCACCCAUUUAGAGAAGAUGCUACAAUAUAAUCUUAUGUCAAAAUUCUUACUAUUGGAUUGAUUUUAAUGUAAAGGCCAUAUAGCAACACAUACGAUAUGCUUCGCACGAGGUCUUCAACAAGAGUACUUUUCUUGCUGCGCAUCCAUACCUUAGUCCGAAAUAUUGGUUGCUUAUUUCCAGUGGCCCUCAUGUUGGUAUUUUGUGAAGAGUGUGGGUUUCUCUCUCGUAUUUUCAUAUGUAAAAGAUAUGCACAUGAAAUGAGAAGCAGGUAAACUGAUUUUAACAAAUCAGAACUGCACAUUGAUUUAUAAGCAAAAAAAAUAAGAAUAAAAAAUUUGCAAAACAUUCGAGGAGAGCAAGAUACCGAAAUUGAAUAAAUUUGCCACCUAAAGGUGCCCCGAAAGUUGUCCAAAAAUGCCCAGUGCUCCCUACUAGAAAUAGAUAAGCAGAAAUGUUACUCCAAAUUUAGUAAAUCAGACACCCAACAAUAAAAUUAUAUAGUUUUAGAAAAUAAUGAGAAAAGAAUAAAAUGUUACUCUAAAUUUAGUCAACGCACCUUUACCAAAAGAAAAUUCACAGAAGCAACUGAGAGGAUAAAUAUGAUACUUCCAGACAAAAAGAAAUACAGAAAGUCAGAGAAAUUCCACCUCCUUAUUACAACUGUAAAACAUAUCCGGCUUCAUGUAGAUACGAUAGGUAUGUCAAGGAAAUCAAAAGCCAACAAUGGACAUCCCAUUGGCUUUCAAAUGAAAAUAUGCCCUCAAAAUGAGGUAUUGACGUAAAUAUUGCGAAAGCAAUGGUAAGAACAGGUAAAUUUCCUCGGAAGUUUCUCCAUGGAGAAUCGGACGCAUCCUGUGAAAAACAAAAGGGUAUAUAAGAAAGAUAAUAUUUGUUUAGUGUUUUUACACGUUUAGUACAUGGUAUGCAUGUCACUUUGAUGCAGUACAUAACAUACGGACAUGAAACAUUUUUCAGCCAAGAUGUCUUUAUUGACAAUGCAGACAUUGAAACAACAAAAUAUGCUAAUGAAAUCUGUGAUUUGAUCAAAGUUGUUUCUGUUCCUUUUUGUUUUCUUCUUCUUUCCUAUUAAUUUUGAAAAUAAUUGACCAAUUCAAACGUUCAGGAAACUUAGUUGGUGAUUUGGUAUAACAUCACACUUAGGUGCACUUGAUGUCUCUGUUUUAUUCUUAUGCAGAUUGUAAAGAAUUUCAAUAUGGUCAUAUUCUAGUCUACACAACUAAAUUCCCUAUUUGGUUAUAUGAUAUAAUCAUGCCCACCUGACAUGGACUUGACAAUAAUUACAUAAUGCUAUCAGAAGGAAUAGUUCAUAGACAGCUAACCGUACAAACUCGAAAACCAAUCAUCUCCUGACAGACAAAAUACACAAGACUCUACUUUGUGUGGCCGAGUUGAUCCAUUGGUCAAGCACAUUAGAUGACUUUUGUAGAGUGGCUUGAUCAAUAGAGACAAAAGCAGCAAACCCUCCAAUCUCAAGUCUCUUUGCAUUCUGGGCAAGGAAUACGUCUAGAAUGCAAAGAGACUUGAGAUUGUACCAUGGAAGUAAUACGUCCUUGACCUGAAAUUGACCAAAGAUAAAAGUACCACCGGAUCAAUUCAAAGAACAAAGAUCAACGAACAACACUCCAACAUGAAAAUAAUACAGGAAUAGAUAAAACACACUUAGAACACAAUAAACUCCUUCCUUCUUGAAAUGUAAUGAAACAACAGGAGAGUUAAUUAGGUAUAAAUCGUACUGCAUCUUGCACAACAAAAAUCUGAUCAGACAUGAUACUGAAACUGUAAUACGAACAGCGAGUUACAAUAAACACAACAGCUGCAUACUUAUCUAUAACAUCAAUUGGUGGAGGAUAAUUUUUCAGACUUUUUGCUCGUUUUUGCUUUCCAUCGUCAUCAAGUACAUGUCCAUUGCAAAUGAGAUUCUGAAAGACAGGUUUGCCAAAUAAUGCAGUAGAUAACUAAGAGUAUUAGCAUAUAAAUAGUUCCUUAAAAAGAAUUUUGUUGAAAUUUAACUGUCCCAAAUGAAUCCUUAAACCCUAUAUGACACCAUGAAAGUGAAAGCUACAUCUAAUUGAAUUAGGGACUUGCAGAUAGAAAGGCAACCUUAUACUACAACUGCCUCCCAGUAAACAGAUUUGAAGGGCAAUGUCUCUUUUCUCAUCAAUCUCCUUGCUUACCACAGAAGCUGUUUCCAAAUGUCCACCCUUCACAUAUGCACCUUCACAUAUGCACCUGCUUCCCAAGAAAUAGCAUCUCCCGACAGUUCCGUCACCAUCAGGGUCAAUGGCUUAGCACCAAAUAUAUAUAAACAUGCAUCAGACUAAUUGGCCUGUAAUUAGAAUAAUUUCUGACUUUUGAUGUAAUUAGAAUAAUUUCAAACUUCACCUGUACGGCCCUUUAACCUCUUGUGAUUGCACCUCACAUAAAUAUUUGUCAAGUUGUCGAGAAACUUCAAAAGAUAUGGAACCACCUCUAAAGUAUUGUAUACAAGAAUUAGAAUCAGAAGUGGAUUGUUUUAACUGAAACAGAGAUGUUUUACUCAUAAACAAUGGAACUCAAAUAUAAUGCAAAACUGACAAGCUUUAACAAGAGAACAUAUAAACCACACAACCAAACUGCUUUUGGAAACCUCAAAAACCAGUUCCAAAAAGAAAUCUCAAAUAGAAUGCGAAUGAACUAGACUAAGAACUAGACUAAAAGAAAACUCAAUUUUAAUGACAUUAAGUAAAUAAGUCAUUAAGUAAUUUUGACAAACAAAAAGAAACAAAAGAUUUAAAUGACAUUAUAUUUGAAUUUAUGAAAUUCCAGGGAAUCCUCAUCUAAGUAUUAAGUACUGAUUAAUUCUAAGUAAGCUCCCUCAGAAAGCUUAAAUAUCUAUCAAAACCCCACCCUGACUCUAAAAUAACUUCUAGUUAGGUACAAAAAAUUUCCAGCACCAGUUAUAUAGCCUUGUUUCAUUGCACUCAAAAACUAUUAAGGAUGCAGAUAAAUGGAAACAUACAGACUCGUUAAAAACAAAACAUUGCUUCACUCAUAGCAGCCUUUGUAUUAGUAAAUGCAUAUACAUUAGGAAUUCAUAUAUUCUGCACUACAUAUGUUCUGCAUUAGAAUAUAAGAGAUUUUUUUUUUUUUUGUCGAAAUCCCCUUUUCCCAGAAAUAUGAAGCUACCCUUGAUCUAAGGUUCUGCUAUAUACAGAUUCUCGUAAAAAUUAAGGAUUCAAAGAUAAUAAAUGUAAUUCUGCAACUGAGAUUCCAAAAGCACACCAUCAAUGAAUAACACCAAUCAAAAUUCAAGGUAUGCAAUUCAAUAACCACCUAUAAAUCACUAACAGUAAAAAUUAAUAAAACAAAUCAACGAAAGCACAAAAAAAGGAUGUGAAAUCCACACCACACCCCAAAUUAUAAUCCACACACCCACUUUCCAUUUUCAGUAAUCAUUUUCAUAUGAAGACAAAAUUUAAAUCACUAAGGACAAAAUUUAAGUUACUAAAAAUAGAAAGUGGGUGUGUGCAUUACAAUUUGGGUUGUGUGAAUUUCACUUCCCCACAAAAAAAUUGAAAUCCCUAACAGAUAAGGACCAAUACCCACAAUUUCCGUUUUAUGGACUUUGGAUAAGCCAACAGUUCGCGUCCUUAUUUUGCUGAUCGAUCUCAAUGGCCCCAACACCUUACUCUUCAUGUAGAGUGAGAUUCAUGUCGAUCUAAAAUUCCAAACCAAGCCUGAAUCUAGAACCACAUAAAAACCAAAAUGUGCAACUAAUCAAAAACAAAAUUAUUGAGGAAUCUUAGGCUAAUUAAUGAGAACAACAAAAAGUUAAGCACACCAAAAUUAAUUAGUGAUGGCAUGAAAUUUAGAAAGAAACUGUAACCAAAAAAAAGAAAGAAAGAAAUUAAGUCACAGUUAAUGUACUGCAACAACAUUGGAUACAUAGUUGAACAUUAAGAAUUUAUGAUCCAUUAGAAAUGCAUACGACUUGCAGAUUAUGAAUCUCUAAUGCAAGACUGGUUUUUAUUUAAAAGUAUGAAAAAGGCUAGCCUAGUGAUAGCUUGGUUCCAUAGGGUUACAUCAUCAAUACGUCAAAAAACGCCAAAUUGAGGACCGCGGCUAUAUGGAAUAGUGAUAUGAUCUAUAUUGUGCCGGUGAAGAUCAAUAACCUGUUAGAAUCAACAGAAAAUAUUCAACUCAUUUGCAGUAACAAAAAAUAUCAAGAGAAAACUACAAUCUUUUUCCUUUUGUUAUAUAGGCCCCCUACAUAAGAUAGGCUCCCUACAUAAGAUAGGCCCCCUACAUAAGAUGGAUAUAGUUCUACAGAUACAGGACCAAUAUCUACUAUAUGAAUAAGGUAAGAUUAGUUAGCUUCCCAUCACCUUCCUUCCUUCUCCUGCCUUUGACAAACCCAAAUAUAAGAAUAUUAAACUUCUGCAUUACCGAAACCCCAAAUCAGUCUCCAUCAUUCAGUCACAGAACACAGAAAAGAAAAAAGAAAAAAAAAUGAAGCAAUCCCGGAACCAGCACAACUCACCUGAUCUUUCAGAUGAUCAAGAGACUUGAGUGAGGUAUCUGAGGCUUAGCGAGGCUUCCAAGCUUCAUGAAACCCUACCGAAUAGGGUCAACAACAAAUCAUACCGAUUAAAAAAAAAGUGUGAUAAUUAAGAAUAAGGUUUACUUGCUUUUUGCCUAAAAAUUGGUCCAUCCGAGCCUCCCAUCUCCCACACUUACGCAAAGUCGCUCUAUAUUUUGAGCUACCUCUAGGGAACCCAUCACUUUGUCGGGAAAGUACAUCCACACAUUCCUCCUUUGUUAAAUUGCUCAUCUGUUCAGCAACAUAUUACAAAAGAAUAUAAUCGAUCUUACCCACAUCCUCAAAAUCCCAAAAACAAAAACACCAAAAAAUGUAUAGCGGGUUUUACUGUUGAAGACAAGUUAAAAACUGUUCAAAACUAGGAUGUAUGCCCGCGCGUUGCAGCGGGUUAUGUAAUAGAUAUGUGCAGCCGGUUCGACGAAAAAUAGUAUAUAGUUAAAUUUCCUGUCAUAUUGUCACUACACAGAGUUGUAAGAUGGAGAGUAAGAGACAAAAACAAAAUCGUUGUGAACAGAAGACAAAGUCCCUGAACUCAUAUUCUCUAUAGAAACAGGACAAAGGUGAUGCUUGCUAAUUCACACCUUUCAUACACACAAUGGUAAAUUAGCUAAAGUUGCAUAUGCAUUAAUUCAAAGUAGUACAGUAUCUCACAUCCUUUUGCAGUCCAAUUGCAGGUGUGAAAAAGAACUUACAUUCAUGUAAAUAAAUGACAUAUCAGGUAUAUCACACACCAAAUUGAAUCAUAACAUUGAAAUUGCUAAUAUGGAGGUUUGGAUAUUAUUAACAACAAUGAUAUAAGAAAAUGCAAAAAGCGGAUUGCAGUUGGGAAUGAUAUUAACAAUGUUAGGAAAAACCAAAAAGGACCAAAUGUUCAGAGAUUGAUCAUUUUAAUCUACUUGCUGAGAUAAUCCAAUAGGUUAAUUACCUCAGCGGUUUUUAAUUACCUAAGCUGUCAGUACGCCUUUCCCUAUUGACAAAUAAAAUCAGGCAGUCAGCUACUGUCAUUCCUACUGUCGAAAUUUGCAGGCACAUUUCUUUCUUUUGUAGGCUUACCAACUAAAAAUGAUUAAUUGGUGAUAGGAUGAUAGGAAGACAAAAGAUGUGGAUACUCAUACUCAGAAGUUCAAAAUUUAGGAUCUAGAAAAUUUACCUUUGCAAUUGUGAAACUUUUUGAAGGAUCAGAAUUUUUUUUUCUUCUGUUCUUUUCUAAACCCCGCAAACAAAUAUUAAAGAAUAUAGUGGAUUUAAGUGUUCAGCCAACAUUAUUCAACCCAAUAAAAGUCCACCAAAGUGACCGUUAUAAAAGGGAGGACCAAAAAUACAUAAUUUGCAGCAAACUUUCUAUAAAAUUGAGUAUGAUUUCACCUAGUCUCCUGAAAACAAACCAUCAAAAUAUGACCUAACAGAGUUUGAAAGUUAAUCAUAGAUUAUUAACAUGCCCAUAACUAAAGGAUUUGCCAUACAAAAAAAUUCCCAGAAUUUGAAAAUAUCCCUAGCUCAACUACCUCUACUGCUUACUCAACUACCUGUUCAACUGUUCAGAGUGCUUGCCUGACAAAGCUCAAAUCAAAGCAUAUAGGAUGGAACAUUAUUCACAAAAUAAAAGUAUAAAUUCACACUAACGGUUCCUCAAAGUCUGAAAAAGUAUAUAACCAUACAUGCCAUUUGAGAAUAUGGUUUUUCCUAAAAACCUAUCUAGCACUAAAUCUUCAAUGCAGUUGAAUUUUUCAAAAGUAAAAAAUAAGCAGUUGAAGAACAAAAUUACCUAUAGCUUUCGUCUGGAAACAUUAACAAUUUGGUAUCUGGUACAUAACAUGGAGUUAAAUUAGAUUCAGAAACCAUACCACACAGUAACACUCGUAGUUUAGCAACCCAGAGUGCUAAUUUAUAGCUCAAUAAAAAAAUAAUCAGUAACAGUAAAAGGUAGUACCUUCCUUUGCUUAUUCCAUCUUCAAUUAGAUCUUUGCUGAGACCUAAGAGCACACGAGUGUUUAGAGAAGUCCUUCUGAAAAAUCGAUUACUUCUAAGAUAUCUGAAGACGUGAAAAAGCAUUGCAUAUUAAACCAUGAUACACCAAAGCCAAUCACACGAACUUUCAAUCCAUUAGACGCAACUGGAAAAAUAAAAUCACUUGAAUUGAAAAUGUAUUACGCAUAUCCAUCUUCUUAUUUCCCAGCUCCAAAUCCAAAUAUAUAUAUCGAUGUGAAUUACCCAGACUGCUAUGCCAAUUGACCGGACAUGAACAACAGAAAAAGCAAUUCACUUUAAUAAGGAGGAUGGUGAAAAACAAGAAAUAAGAUCGAAGCAAUUGAGCUAGUACUUACAUUCACCAUAAUUAGUUUCCAGCCAGGUCCCGUUAUCCCUCCAAUUUUGUAUUUAGGUGGCACUCAAUAGCAAAAAGAAGAUAGAAAAAGAAAUUAAUAUAUAAACUUGUACAUACAUGAUUGAUAUAUAAUCUUCUAAAACAAUUAUACAAAAAUUGGGAAGUUCUACACACCUUUGUCCAUUCAUAUCUACCUCGGUUCUGAUUGCUUCCAAAGAGUCAUCAGCACCCAUAUGAGACUUACUACUCUGUCAGUAUCUAGUUGCCUGCUCCCAUGUGUUGCCUGAACCACAAGAUGCAUUCACUUGGCUAGUCCACCUACCGCCCCCAGCUGUGGACAACUAUAUAUCUGCAUACACAUUUGAUGAAUUUAGAAACAUGAGAUCAUGAAGAGAUACACACAAACACACAAGCACGAAGAGAUCAUGAACAAUCAAACCAAAAUUAUUAACAUGUUAACCUUCGUAAAAUAUAAAACGUAGAACAGUUGUUAAGAUUGAUUAUAACAUGAAGUUGACAAAAAGAUAACUGAAAUAAAAAAGAGAUUUCCUUUCUCAUGAAAGCCAAAGAACGAAUGUCUAUAAUUUUGUGAGCCAGAAGUAUAAUUCUAAAGGAAAGCUAAAACGACUAAUGAAAGGAUAUAGUUGGGGCAAGAAAAUUCAGCUAUCUUUUAUGGCAAUUGUAGGGUGCAGGUCAGAAAGAAGAUUGAUCUCUGUGUUAAAUUGUUUCUCCAAUCGUGCUGCCAAGAGGUAUGAAAUACAAAAAGGGGAACAAGCUCAAUUUCAUAUAUUACAUGGCGGGCUCUCAAGUUGACAACACCGGAUGAAAGAAGGAAUUGAAGUCGCAGGAGGUUGAUCCUCAACAUCAGUCCUAUUAGCCUGAAAACCGAAAUUAAGCAAACUCAGGUUACAGUCGAUUAAAGCGUAGGGGUCUCAAAGGUGCUCCGCAAUCGGAAGAUUGUCAGCAGAAGCAAUCAAAAAAAGAAAAAAUAACAAGAAGAUAAAGAUAAGAGGGCUACCUGAGAUUGUUCCAGCUUCUUGGAUGGCGUAAGCUCCUUCAUCCAAGUAGUACGGCUUUUGAUCAAGGAAAAUAACGAUAGGGCAGGUAAUUAUCAUCAACAACAAAUCACAAUCACACAACCGAGACCAAAACAGACACCAAACCAAAAAAGAAACAAAUCACCUAUAGUUGAAAUCUGGAAACUGCAAGGUAGAUGAUCAAGUGAUUCAUCAUCUGCCAACAAAUCACAAUCACACAACUGAGAUCCAAACAGAUACCAAACCGAAAAAAAAAUAAAAAGUAGAAACAAAUCCACCAAUAGUUGAAAUCUGGAAACUGCGAGGAAGAAGAUGAAGUGAUUCAGAACACCGCUGGCUGUUAGGUGUUACCUGAUCGUGAGUACUGACUAUAAUACUCAAACUUGUACUCCAUCAGUCAAACUUGUACUCAUUCUUCAGUUCAUCUCUUUACCUCAGGAUAAUCCACGUUACAGAUACUUGAAUUAAUUUUGGCUUAAAGUAAGAGUGCUGAUCUAAAAGUGAAAACAAAAUUCAGUGUGAAAGACGAAUUCCUUCCCAGGUUUAUAGGAUCUAAACCAGAUUGUCUUUCCACAGGCUCCAGAGCUGCACAUUAAUCACCAGAAAGAAUUUUAAGCACAUUUAACAGUAAACUCUAAUAGUUUUUUUAACCUUAACAAUACUAAAAACAACAGUAAAGAAGCAAUCAUAUCAUGAACCUUAAAACAAGGAACCGAUGCUUUUAAGGCCUCUUGCUGUGACCGAACCCCUGCAACAUUGAUACCAUGUACAAAUGAAAGGAAUAUAUUGCAAAACUGAUACAGCAAUACUGAACUUGAAGACCAUGACCAAGUUGAAAAAUCCAAUUUGAUAUGUAUCAUUUCAGUAGGCAACUAUUCAUAUAUUCAAGUGCAUCUUCACAACCCAAUUCUCUAUUUGGUAAUAUGAUAUAAUCAUGCCCGACUGAAAUAGACUUGGCAAGAAUUACAGAAUGCUAUCAGAAAGAAUAGUUCAUAGACAGCUAACCGUGUAAAGUCGGUAACCAUUAAUCUCUACACAAGACUGUGUGUGGCCAAGUUGAUCCACUGGUCAAGCACAGUAGAUGAAUUUUGUAGAGUGGCUUGAUCAAUAGGGACAAAAGGGGAAAUCUCUUCAAUUUCAAGUCUCUUUGCACUCUGGACGAGGAACCUAUAGGCAUUGUACCACGUCCUUGACCUGAAAUUAACCAAAGAUAAAAGUACCACUGGAUCAAUUCAAAGAACAAUGAUCAACAAACAGCACCCUAACAUGAAUAGAUAUAUAACACCUAUUUUUGUCAAAUAUAUCAUCUUCCCACCAUUUGACAAAGAAACCAAGAAAGGUAAAGGCACUUAAACUAUAAUACAAACAGUCAGUUACGAUAAACACACAGCUACAUACUGAUCGAUAAAAUCAUUUUUUUUCCAUCUGAGCAAGUACAAGUCCAUUGCAAAUGAGAUUCUGAAAGGGAGGAUUGCCAGAUAAUGCAGUAGAUAACACCAUAAGUGUAGAACCGGGAUCAUAAUCGGAGGGAAGCAAUGAGGCCUAGCUUAGACAUUAGAAACUUGUGCCCAAGUUAGGACAAAAGCUGACACAAAGGAAUCUAAUCCUACAAUAGGCAGCCGACAGUCAUUAUAUUAAUUAAAAAGAAAAAGAAACAACUUACGAACAGGCAAAAGGGUUUUUCUAUUAGUUACCAAAAUAAACUCCCUAUUAUGUUUCCAACUGUACUUCAUAGUUUUCAGUUUUCAUCUAACACUAGAAUCCAUGUGGAAAGAAGUAUCAUUGCCACACAUGUACAUACAUAAUUGAUAUAUAUAUAUAUAUACUAGAAAUUAUACCGGUGCCUUGCUACGGGAUUUAUUUGCCAAAACUAAACGGAUACUUUUUUUUUCAUUGGACAUGUUAAAAGUUCAAAUACUGAUGGUUCACGUGAUGAUCUUGGCCUACCCAUUUGGAUAGGAUAGGCACAGAUUGUGAACAGCAACACUAAGAACCACCACAAUUCAGAUAAUAGAUGAAACUGCAUCCAGGAACCCAGAAAGAGAGGUCGAGUGCCUAGAAUCUUGUACAGAAGUAAAAAAAAGAGAUUAACUUUCUCAUGAAAGCCAAAGAACAAUGUCUAUAAUCCAAUGACCACUAUACAAAAAUUUGUGAGCCAGAAGCAUAAUUCUAAAUGAAAGCUAAACAAACUAAUGAAAGUAUAUAGUUGGCGAAAGAAAAUUCAGCUGCCUUUAUGACAAUUGUAUGGUGGAGGUGAGAAAGAAUUUUGAUCUCUGUGUUAAAUUGUUUCUCCAAUCGACCUGCCAAGAGGUAUGAAAUACAAAAAGGGGUUUAAUACCAAUUAGCUGAAUUCAAAAUCAUAUAUACAUGGCGGGCUCUCACCUUGACAACACCGUGUAAAAGCAGGAAUUGAAGUCACAGGAGGUUGAUCCUCUACGUCAGUCCUAUUAGCCUGAAAAUCAAAAUUACACAAGUUCAGGUUACAGUCGAGUAAAGCCUAGGGGUCUCGAAGGCGCUCCACAAUCUGAAGAUUGUCAGCAGAAGCAAUCAAAAAGAAAAAAAAAACAGAAAGAAGAUAGAGAUAAGCCGGCUACCUGAGUUUUUUCCACAUGAAAUAGUUGAGCUUCUUGGAUGGCGUAAGCUCCUUCAUCCAAGUAGUACGGUUUUGAACGAGGACAAUAACAAUAGGGCAGGUGAUUAAAAAAUAUAGAAAAGAGAGCAAAGAAUACCAAAAUUCAGAUUCACAAUAUAAAAAACGAAAUAACAAACUUAGGAGAAGUAAGCACACCUAAAAAAAUAUAACCCCCUUGCACACAGAGCACCACCUUCAAUCUAAAAUCCAAUUCCAAAACACAUGCAGAACAACAAACCAAACAUUCAGUAGGCAAGCGAAAUACUUAUCAAAGUUAAGGAAACAUUCGAGUGACUACAAUACUCAAACUCGUACUCCAUCAGUCAAACUUGUCAAAGUAAAAAGGAAGCGAAAUACUUAUCAAAGUUAAGGAAACAUUUGAGUGACUAGUGACUACAAUACUCAAACUCGUACUCCAUCGGUCAAACUUGUACUCAUUCUUCAGUUCAUCUCUUUACCUCUGGAUAAUCCACAAAACAGAUGCUUGCAUUAAUUUUGGUUUAAAGAAAGGAUUGCUGAUCUAAAAUUGAAAAUAAAAUUCAGUGUGAAAGAUGAAUUCCUUACCAGAUUUAUACGAUCUAAACGCGAUUGUCUUUCCACUAAGCUCCAGAGCUGCACAUUAAUCACCAAAAAGAAUUUUAAGCACAUUUAACACCAAACUCUAAUAGUUUUUUUAACCUUUACAAUACUAAAAACAAAAGUAAAGAAGCAAUCAUCACCUUCCCAGCAGCAUUGCCUUGUACGAAGAAAGGAAUAGAUUGCAAAACCGAGACAGCAAUAAUGAACUUAAAGAGCAUGACCAAGUUGAAAAAUCCAUGUUGAUAAGUAUCAUUUCAGUAGGCAAUUAUUCAUAUAUCAAGUGCAUCAAUCAUAUUGCAUCAAAUAAAGUAUUCCAAGCAACCAAUUUUGAUUAAAAUCCUUAUCAGACUACGCUAAACAUAUAAUGAAAUCAGAAUUUACUCACAGCAUUGCAAGACUGAGGCAAUAGAUCAGUGACACCAAUUCCCCUGAUAUAUUGUUGUGCUCAGUGGCAACAAUAUCAAAACGAAAACGUCAAAAGUCUCAGUACCUAAAUAUCGUAAACUUCGGACCACAAUUGACAUGGGCACUUACACUGAGAACAAAUUCUGCAGCUGAUAAGUUCUUGAGGAAUCAAAAAUUUCACAAUCAAGCUAUGCAUAUAGAUGCAACAGCAUCUAUAUCAAACCUAAAACUCACUUUCCAAGCUUCACUUUUCAUAUCUAGUCGGUCCCAAUCCAAUUUAAUACCAGCUCUUUAUAUUCACAAACUUUCCAAAACAAAUACCCAAUUUAUAACCAAUGCACAUUGCACUAUCAACGCCAUAUAUAAUCUGAACCCACAAAAACCCACCAAAAAUUGAAAAGCAGCAUGCUUUAGUACAAUAACGAUUGGAUCAAAUACACCUUAUAAACCCCAACGUAAUUCUAAUUAAACACUUGCUUUGAAAGAAAACAUAUCAAUAAUUAUACCUAUAACCCAAAAAACCAGAAUUACCUUCCCUAUUCUUGCUGAUGAUACGCUGCAAAUUUCGUCAAGAUUGGAAAGAGAUCAACAUGGAUCAGAAACAGUUCAAAUUUCAAAAAAAGAGCAACGAAGAUCGAAAUUCAGAUUCACAGGAAGUAAGCAAUGAUGGAAAAAUAUAACCCCCUUAUAGCCUCACACACAGAGCACCACCUUCAAUCCAAGAUCCAAUUCCAAAACACAUGCAGAACUACAAACCAAACAGUUAAAAAGUAAAAGGUAGGAAGCAAAAAUACUUAUCAAAGUUAAGGAAACAUUCGAGUGAACCCAACCGUUCUUAAGUAAAACUGUUGCACAAUUCCUAAAUGUCACUUUCCUUGGCAUGCCUUUAAUAAAGAUACAGAGAAGUCAUGAAAAGGUUAAAGCUCUUCCCUUUUUUCUAUUUUCCUUUUGCUGAUUGGUUUGAUCCGAAUUGAGAUAUUGUUCGGUAUCAUUGAUAAGUACUAUCAAAAUCGGGUUUACAUACAAAUAGGGGCUUGGGGAAACAAAUUCAAACAAAUAGGAACUUCUCACUAAGUUUUAAGGACAAUUCUCACGCACGAAAACCAAUCUUUUAAAACUCUAAUGGAUCAGAUAAAAACUGUAAAUAAACAUGACUUGAGAGCCAAAAACCCAAACUAAGUGUAAACUUCAAAAAUUCAUUUCUCACCUGAAAUUGAACAAAUAGGAGAAGCUUUAGAAAUCUGGCUCGAAAAUCAAAUCAGACGCUGACAAUCACAGCUACUGAAAUCCUCUUGAUCUAACAAUCACAGCUACUGAAAUCCUCUUGAUCUCAGUCACAAAAAAGCGGUCUCAAUCCAAAAUUCGAUACCCAUAUCUCAAAUUGCCAAUAAAACGAAAACCUUGAAUCAAAAUCAAAUUCAUCAGUAAAAAAAAAAAAAAAGAUAACCCAAAACCAAAACUGAAAUCAAACAAAAAAUUACACAAACCAAAACGCAUUACACUUUAAUAAGAGGAUGGUGAAAAACAGGAAAGGAAAUCAAAGCAAUUGAGGUAGUAAUUACAUUCACCAUCUUUAGUUUCCAGCCAGGUCCAGUUAUCUCUGCAAUUUUGUAUUCUGGUGGCACUUGAAAGCGAAAAGAAGAAAGAAAGAAAGAAAAAUCAUAUUGAUACUCAGAUUAAGCAAACAUGAAAAUUAAAUCAAGCAGAUGAAAGCAAAGUUUUCUCUCUUUGAAGCCGCUAUAUAAUCGAUACAGUUUUCUUUAUUUGAGUACAUUGCAUGUAAAGUUUGUUACUUUACCUGAAAAACUGCUUAAAAAUGAAACUCAAAUUAGCAAGCUACAUACUGGAAUUUGGUGCAAUCCUUCAUUGAGGUGCUAGACUGCAACACAGACAAAACCUGAAUCAACUUGAUCAAGGAAACAGAAAACCCAGUCAAAAAAACAAUGUGCAUCACAUUCUUCAUCAGAUAAAACAUGUUGUUAUGUUUGAAAAGAUAGUGACUGCCAAAGAUCAAAGCAAUUGAGCAAGUACUUACAUUCACCAUCUUUAGUUUCCAGCCAGGUCCAGUUAUCUCUCCAAUUAGUAUUCGGGGGUACUCGAUAGCAACAAGAAGAAAGAAAGAAAGAAACGAAAAUCAGAUUGAAACUCAGAAAGAAAGAAAGAAACACAGUUUCCUUUAUUUGAGUACAUUGCAUGUUAAGUUUGUAACUUUACCUGAUAAACUGCUAAAAAUUAAAAAUCAAAUCAGCAAGCUAUAUACUGGAAUUCGGUGCAAUCGAUCAGUGAGGACCUAGACUGUUCUACCUAGACUGCAGAACAGACAAACGCCGAAUCAGCUCAAAUCAGGUAAUGGGAAGGGUUAUCCUUCUUGAAAUGAUAAGCUCAAUCUCAAACAGUAUAGAAACCACACAAAAACGGAAUGAAAAAAUUUGAAAAUUCAAAAGCACUCAACUUAUCUAUUCGAUCUGAGCAGAGAAUUGGGAACUUCCUAAAUCUAUAGUCCCACGAAUCCAUCUUGGGGAAAAUUUAUAUUGCACUCUUAGCAUUCAAACACCAAAUUUCAUGCCAACACAAAAAAAAUUCAAAUGAAAACACAAUAAAAAUUCAAAUGCAAACGCAAAAGCCAAUAAAGUCAAGCAUAAUAACAUCAAGAACAUACCUGAGAAACUAACAAAUUGGAUCCCGCCCAAAAUCAACCAAACUCAACCAAGCACAUGUUAACAAAUCCUCCACAGAUUUUCACUCAAAGAUAUCUCAUCGGCUCUACACCGAAAACGAAAAAAAAAAAUAAUGGAUAAAACCAAAACAAAAGGAUAAGAAAUACCGAGACAUUAGAGCACAUAAGAGCACUGGUUUUCAAAACACUAUCUCUUGUCUUUUAACAUACCCAUCUGAGGAGGGAGGUAAUCAAGAGUGCCACACAUGGUCCGCCUGCGAUUGAAUGUGUGUACUGACCACCCAAAAUCUGCUAUCUUGAGUUCACCUUGACAUUAGAAAUCUACAUUGACAUGAAUAGCAACAAAUAUGCAUCAAUAAGUCAUAAAAAGGAAACAUAUAACAGCAUAGUAAGGCAUUCAGCACCUGUUGACCAAUGAGAAGGUUUUCUCGUUUGAUAUCUCGAUGAAUUACGUGCUUUCCAUGACAGUAUAUAAGGGCUCAGGCCAAUGAUGCAACAUACUGCAAAUACCUCAUACGAAAAAAACAUCAGAAUUUCUAUUCUAUAAACAACUGAAAGAGAAUGAAUUAGACACCACAAAAAAACUUACGAUGGCUGCACGUCUUUCACUAAAGUAUUUACACUUUUGGAGUUCCUUGUAUAGUUCACCUUUGGCGGCAUAUUCCAAUAUCAAAUAAACUCGUUUCUGCAAUUAAAAUUCCACUACAAGGGUGAGUGACUCUGUACCAUAGUGGUUCCAUUAAUUAGGAGACGUUCAAUUUGGUGCAAACAUAAAGCACCUAUGAGCACUAUACCUGAUCAUAAAAGUAGCCAUAAAGACAUAGAAUAUUGGGAUGGCGAAGAUGACUUUGUAUUUCAACUUCCGGGGAAGCUGAUGCUCAACCUGAGAUUGUUGCAACUGGCUCUUGAAGAGGACUUUGAGUGCCACUAUGUGAUUGCUCUGUUUCAGGCAUAGAUACAGAUCAAGAACUGUGUAUACACACCACUAAAAGCAGGUAAACAGAGAGAUACAACACCACGAUGAUGCAUAGCAAACACUCAUUUCCAACUUAAAAUUGCAAAAGGAGAUUCCACAUCAUUUGAUAAUAAAGCACAUUGUCGAAUCAAGAUCCUCCUUAGUUAUAACUCUUUCCAAUACAUCUUUAGACAACUCUUGCAACCGCCUAAUCAGCCAUCAGAGAAGCAUUCAGGAACAUCUAGUCAUGAUAUCUGCAAAUUCCGAAAGUGAUUAUGAGUUCUCCUUUGAGCAAAAAACAGGCAAAUUAGGAACAUUAAGAACAUCAUCAAUACAUGGUUGAUAGUGGGCAUGUUAGAUUAACACAGAAGAUAGUCUCAUACAACACGAAAACAAAAGCAAUAUAUUAGGUCUUAUUAUGAUUAUAUUAAAAUACAUGCUUUGCGCUAGAUACAUAUGCAAUGCAAAAGAUCUAAUAGUAUGAUUUGCAAGAAACACAGUUUAAUAGAUACCACCAAGUCUAAUAGUAUGUUUUCCAAAUAAAAAGUAAUGGACACAGGGGAUAUCUAUCUUAGCCUGAAUUAGAGAUUGGAUACACAUUUGGGAUAUUUGAGAGGGAAGUGAAGGCUUUUAGAAGAGCACUAAGAGAUAGUGUAACACCUAAACGAAUAUGCUCCUUGAAUACCUAUGAACCUCAGUUCGUUCAAAAUCUCAGGAAAUCAACGGAAACAGGAGAACAAAGUUCUUGGUUUGCAAGCAGGAACUGAAGAAAUAAAAGAAACCUACCAUCAAACUCACAAACAAACAAUGAAUCUAAUUCUCUAAUCACAAUAAUGAUCAGAGCAUUCAUAAAAAAAGCUACAUUACUAUGAAGCCUUUUACUAUUCAAAGCCCAGAUCUUAAAAAAGGACAUGAAGAAUAAGGAAGUAGUGACAGGAUAGCUGAUUUUGGAGUACUAUGAAGCCUAAUUACAUUUUUAUAAUACAAAGAACAAAAGUUACCUGGAUUACUAUUUGUUACAUACAAAUUAGAACAAUAAAGAAUAGUUUGAUCUAUGAAAAACAGAGAAUAUUAUUAUUAAGAGAUGAUAAAGAACAAAUAGCAAAAUGAAAAAUAAAAUUUAAAAGAAUAAACUGAGUAACAUAUGAAGAUGGAAAAGAAUAAAGAAUGAGUUUAUAAGAGAAAGAAUGACAAUAAUGUAUUACAGUGCAACACUUUCUUGCAGUUCUCAAAAUGCGCUCUCUUGGAUUCUGAAUCAGUUAUACAAUGUAGGACCUCACUCUCACCAUCUGUUAAAAAAGAAAAAGGGAAAAAAAAGGGACUUCAGACAAUAACAAAAUAGAAUUACUACAAAAUCCACAGCAAUUUAUACAGAUCCCCUGAAAUCAAAUUAAGUAGAGUACUCUACUCCAAUUGCCACGCCAAAAAAAUGAAACUGAAAUGAAGUAGCUAUUUUCAUGUGUAUAUUAAUUCCUAGUUUGACACUCCUCAAUGUACAUACCACACGUUACACAGCUCUUCAAAUUCCAUUUGCUCUAAUCCCUGUUAGGCUACCUUCCCUAGAAAAUUUGCAGUUCACCUAAACCGCAUAUACCUAUGGUAAACUGAACACCGGAGCAUCACGUAUGCCUAUGCCAACCUAAACGACACCAUAUGCACAACUCUGUUAGCAGAGUCAACCAUUUACAUCGUAAAAGGUAAAAGAAAAAUGUUCACUUCUACCUUUUCACUCUCAAGCUCUCUCAAGCUCUUUCCUCAGUCCUCUCAACGAAUCUUCAAGUCCUCUCACUCAUUAUGAAGAGCGGGCAUGUCUGUCUUGACAUAGAUCAUUAUAGCCCCUACGAAUUUGUUCACUUCUUUUUAUUUACUCUAUUAACUGAAGAUGACCUAUACAUAUUUGAAAUAUUUGAAUCACUGUUAUAUUAUUAAAAGGAUUUUGAAAUUAAAGAUCAAAACAUUUGAACUGAAGCAUUAACCAUACCUCCAUUACCUUGAGAACUGAUGAAUUGGAAAUCACCCAAAAGAAACCAGAACCAAGCAUCAACAGUAGACCAUAGUGAUUACUAAACCAAACCUCAAAAAAGACGACCAGCAGAAAACCUAGAAUCAAAAUCAAAUUCACCAGUAAAAAACAAAAGAUAACCCAAAACCGAAACUGAAAUCAAACAAAGAAUCUAUGCCAAUCGACCCGACAAGAACAACCGAAAACGCAUUACACUUUAAUAAGAGGAUGGUGAAAAACAGAAAAGGAGAACAAAGCAAUUGAGCUUGUAACUACAUUCACCAUCUUUAGUUUCCGGCCACGUCCAGUUAUCUGUGCAAUUCUGUAUUCUGGUGGCACUCAAAAGCUAAAAGAAGAAAGAAAGAAAGGAAAAUCAUAUUGAUACUCAGAUUAAGCAAACAUGAAAAUUAAAUCAAGGAGAUGAAAGUAAAGUUUUCUUUCUUGGAAGCCCCUAUAUAAUCGAUACAGUUUUCUUUAUUUGAGUCCAUUGCAUGUAAAGUUUUACCUGAAAAACUGCUUAAAAAUGAAACUCAAAUCAGCAAGCUACAUACUGGAAUUCGGUGCAAUCGAUCAUUGAAGUACUAUACUGCAGCACAGACAAAACCCGAAUCAGCUCAAAUCAAGGAAACAGAUAACUGUGCAUCACAUUCUUCAUCAGAUAAAACAUGUUAUGUUUGAAAAGAUAGUGACUGCCGAAGAUCAAAGCAAUAGAGUUAGUACUUGCAUUCACCAUCUUUAGUUUCCAGCCAGGUCCAGUUAUCUCUCCAAUUUAGUUAGUAAUCGGGUGGUACUCGAUAACAAAAAGAAGAAAGAAAGAAAGAAACGAAAAUCAGAUUGAAACUCAGAAAGAAAGAAAUACAGUUUUCUUUAUUUGAGUAUAUAACAUGUAAAUUGUAACUUUACCUGAUAAACUGCUAAAAAAUGAAAAUCAAAUCAGCAAGCUAUAUAAUGAAAUUCGGUGCAAUCGAUCAUUGACGUCCUAGACUGCACAACAGACAAACGCCGAAUCACAGGUAAUGGGAACGGUCACCCUUCUUGAAAUGAUAAGCUCAAUCUCAAACAGUAUAAAAAUCACACAAAAACGGAAUAAAAAAAUUUUGAAAAUUCAAAAGCACUCAACUUAUCUAUUUGAUCUGAGCCGAGGAUUGCGAACUUCCCAAAUCUAUAGUCCCACGAAUCCAUCUUGGGGAAAAUUUAUAUUGCACUCUUUGCAUUCAAACACCAAAUUUCAUGCCACCAAUUUAGACAAGAAUGCAAUUUAAAAGAAAAAUGCUAGCAAUUAGACAGAAUUAAAUAAAGAAAAGCAAAUAUACAGAACCACUUACCCAUAUUUCUCUUCUCCUGUCUCAGCCCAAAAUAUGUUAACGAAUAUUCCAGUCUCUUCCUCACAGCAAAACACAACAACCCUGAAUCCGCCAUGUUCGGCCUCUCUUACAAAGAAUAUCUGUUUGAUGAACCUCUGCAUGUAAUUAAUGUCCUUUGUAUCAAAAUACCAAUUUUACAAAUUCAAAAUCAGAAACGAAAAUUCAUUCUUUGAAGUAUAAUCCACGUGCAUCUGCAUUGAUCACAGUUUUCACAGAAAUACUCGUCUCUAUAAAGGAGAAGCCUUUUUAUGCACAGUACGUUUUUGUACAUUAAUUGUUUACCUAAAAGACUAAACCCACAUACACAUAGAAAAGGUAGCAAAUCACCUAUACAAAAUCUGGAAUCAACUAAUACAAACAAUUUUGGCCAAAUCUUUUUUUCAUUGUUACAAAAAAAUAAAUUAAAACAGAAGUCCCCAAAGAUUCCCAACUAAAUGAAUAAUAUAGAAUUGUUUGAAAUCUUGAAUGUAGAAGAAGUAGCACAUACCUAUGAACCUCAACACCAUCAAAACUUCAAGCAAACUACAUAAACAGCAAAACCAAAUUCUUUGUUUUCGAGCAGGAACUUAAAAAGGAAUAAGAAAAAAAAAAGAACUACCAUGAAACUCACAAAUAAACAAUCUUACCAAAUAAUAAUAAAGUAUUAAUCAAAAGCUAGNNNNNNNNNNNNNNNNNNNNAAAAAAAAAUUACAAAGAUACUAAAAAAUUCAUGUACAUGCAUAUAACUAUCAGAUUGGGAAAUCAGUACUAAUAGUUAGAAAGGUGAAGACGAAUGGUACUAAUAGUUAGAAAGGAGAAGACAAAUGGUAUAACUAUCAUACUGAUAUUGAUCGACACCAAAAAUUUUAGUGCUGACGAAACCUAAAUUGACCCAAAACCUCAUUAUCUUGAUACUUGAUUGAAACCCAAACUCGCAACAACAGUGAUCAGCGAAAUCAAACACCUUCUGCAUUAAUCACCAAAAAAUCGGACCAAAGGAGAUAAGCGACCAUAUUGAGCGACUCAUAAACCCAUAAUUCAAGAUCCAAAUAAAAAAAAAUAAAAUUUCAAAGGAUGAUGCUUACCUUAGGAAACCUGAAUUCACCCAAAACGGUUAUCUCAGUUUGAUCUCCUCUCUCUGAUCUCCACUCUCUUUCAGACUUUUUCUCCUCUGUUGUGACUUGGGCCGAAACCAAGACGUAGAAAAGAAAGAAAAAGAACGAAAGCCAGGGAAGAGACACACGGAGACGGUAGACACACAUGUGGAAGUAAAUAGCUAACACCUGUCAUGCCAGAAUUGUAAAUAAGCGGAGAACGGAAGGGCAAAAAUGGCAGCCCAACGUUCCCUUAGAAACAGUAGGUCGGCCCCAGGCCGCAUAAUAAUAUAGUAAAUUGAAAAACAAAAAUGAAUGGAAUUGAAAACCCAUUACCCAUACACAUCUUCUUUCGCAGCUUCAAAACCACUCACAACUGAUUCGAAAACCUCAGUAAAGGUUUGAAAUUGAUUAUCCAACCCAGCCAAAUCCUGCAUAAAAUAUGAGGAAAACAUGACACAUCUUACCAUACCGGAAAAUCCAAAACUCAUUUGCACCACCAAAGUUGCAUGUGCCACAUAAGAAGCUUACCAUGAGCCGAAUCCCUCAAAGAUCUUACACUACAUACCUGAACACUAUAAUAGUAUAAUUAUCCUAACACAUAAUUACAACAAAAUAGGAACCCACAGCACUAAGUUGUCGUAUUGGGCUCACCCCUCCUUUUUUUCCCAAAUUCAGACCUCUUUUUCCUUCAUGAAAACCCAGAAAACUAAACUUUUUUUAAGUCAUAUCAUAGGAAGUACGAAACGGAAGAAAAUGAGAAAAGCAACUUACCGAAAAAAAAUACCAUAUGUAGAACUCACCAAGACGCAUGCCAAUACACCAAUAAUGUACCUGAAACUCUUUGUUCAACAAACCCAUUAAACCCAAUAAUGAACCUAUUCUUGCAGCAGUUGUUGCACCAGAGCUUGCAGCAGAGUUGUUGCUGGGAUAUCAAUAACUAACCUGGAAAAUAUGCAUACAUGAUUUUCAAUGGGAACUGUGGCCAUAUGCAUAUAAUAUUUGAGCAGAAACUAUCUCAUCGGCAUUUCAUGUCAUCUGACCGUCAAUCUACACCGUUAAAAAAAUGAGGUCUAAAAAGGGUCUACAACAAAACAUACCGGAUAAUAAAAUGAGUGAUAAUUAAGAGAAAGGUUUACCUACUUUUUGCCUAAAAAUUGGCCCAUCUGAGUCUCCCAUCUCCCACACCUAUGCAAUGGCACUCCUCAAUAUUUUGAGCCGCCUCUAAGGAUUCUUCAUUCAAAAUCUCAAUCUCACCUGCUCUGCAUCGAAUAGAAAAAAAAAAAAAAGUUAAAAGAAGAGGAUUAUGUGAUAGAACUAAAAGAAAAGCAUGAGAAAUUAUGGACACUGUAAUAAUCUGAGAUGCCUAAAUGGGUACACAUUUGCAGAUAACAAAAGCCGAAACUGUUAUGCCCCUUUAUAAGUUAAUCCAUCAAUCAAUAAAGUUAAACAUGCACAAAAAAAUGCAAAUCGUUUCACGUAGUUAACAAUCUAAAACAGUAUAGAUGGCACGAUAAACAAACUCGGGAUUAUAAAAUCACUUACUCAUAGUUUACAUUACUUUCUCAAUAACUUAAAUCAAAGAAAGAAGACAAUAUACAGAUAUGACCGACGUAUUAAAAAAAUAAUAAUAAAUAAAAAAACUCAAAAAAAAUCUCAUGAGAAAAAUGCAAAAUUAAUUUUACAUGCUCAGCCACACUGAAGCCUGAAUACCCCCUUUGGAGCUUCAUUUUCACCGAAAAAUGCAUACCAUCAACUUAGGAAAAAAAUAAUUCCAAAGAACCCAACAAACUUAGAUUGAUUAACGGGAUCCAAGAAAAAGCAGCCGGAAAGAAACAAAACAUAGUAUAGUGGGACAUAAGAGUAUCAGCCAAAACUAAACAGAUACAUUUUUUUUUCAUUGAACAUGUUAAAAGUUCAAAUACUGAUAGUUCACAUGAUGAUCUUGGCCAACCCAUUUGGAUAGGAUAGGCACAGAUUCUAAACAGCAGCACUAAGAACCACCACAAUUGAGAUAAUAGAUGAAACUGCAUCCAGGAACCCAGAAAGCGAGGUAGAGUGCCUAGAAUCUUGUACAGAAAUAAAAAAGAGAUUACCUUUCCCAUGAAAGCCAAAGAACGAUGUCUAUAAUUCAUUGACCACUAUACAAAAAUUUGUGAGCCAAAAGCAUAAUUCUAAAUGAAAGCUAAACAAACUAAUGAAAGUAUAUAGUUGGCGAAAGAAAAUUCAGCUACCUUUAUGACAAUUGUAGGGUGGAGGUGAGAGAGAAGAUUGAUCUCUGUGUUAAAUUGUUUCUCCAAUCGAGCUGCAAAGAGGUAUGAUAUAAAAAAGGGGUAUAAUACCAAUUAGCCGAAUUCAAAAUCAUAUAUUACAUGGCGGGCUCUCACCUUUACAACACCGUGUAAAAGCAGGCAUUGAAGUCACACGAGGUUGAUCCUCUACAUCAGUCCUAUUAGCCUGAAAAUCGAAAUUACGCAAGUUCAGGUUACAGUCGAGUGAAGCCUAGGGGUCUCCAAGGCGCUCCACAAUCUGAAGAUUGUCAGCAGAAGCAAUCAAAAAGAAAAACAAAACAGAAAGAAGAUAGAGAUAAGCCGGCUACCUGAAUUUGUUCCACAUGAAAAAGUUGAGCUUCUUGGAUGGCAUAAGCUCCUUCAUCCAAGUAGUCCGGCAUUUGAACGAGGAAAAUAACAAUAGAGCAGGUAAUUAGAUCAGAAACAGUUCGGAUAUCAAAAAGAGAGCAAAGAAGAUCAAAAUUCAGAUUCACAAUAUAAAAAACGAAAUAACAAACUUAGGAGAAGUAAGCACACCUGAAAAAAUAUAACCCCCUUACAGCCUCACACACAGAGCACCACCUUCAAUCUAAAAUCCAAUUCCAAAACACUGCAGAACAACAAACCAACCAGUUAAAGUAAAAGGCAAGCAAAAUACUUAUCAAAGUUAAGGAAACAUUCGAGUGACUACAAUACUCAAACUCGUACUUCAUCGGUCAAACUUGUACUCAUUCUUCAGUUCAUCUCUUUACCUCAGGAUAAUCCACAAAACAGAUGCUGGAAUUAGUUUGGGUUUAAAGAAAGGAUUGCUGAUCUAAAAGUGAAAAUAAAAUUCAGUGUGAAAGACGAAUUCCUUACCAAAUUUAUAGGAUCUGAACGCGAUUGUCUUUCCACUAAGCUCCCUGCACAUUAAUCACCAAAAAGAAUUUUAAGCACAUUUAACACCAAACUCUAAUAGUUUUUUCAAACCUUUACAAUACUAAAAACAAAAGUCAAGAAGCAAUCAUCACCUUCCCAGCAGCAUUGCCCUGUACAAAUGAAAGUUAAAAGUAAAAGGUAGGAAGCAAAAAUACUUAUCAAAGUUAAGGCAACAUUCAAGUGAACCCAACAGUUCUUAAGUAAAACUGUUGCACAAUUCUUAAAUGUCACACUUUCCUUGGCAUGACUUUAAUACAGACACAGAGAAGUCAGGUUAAAGCUCUUCCCUUUUUUCUAUUUUCCUUUUGCUGAUUGGUUUGAUCCGAAUUGAGAUAUUGUUCGGUCUCAUUGAUAAGUACUAUCAAAAUUGGGUUUACAGACGGGGGCUUGGGGAAACAAAUUCAAACAAAGAGGAAAUUCUCACUAAGUUUGAAGCACAAUUCUCAAGCACGAAAACCAAUCUUUUAAAACACUAAUGGAUCAUAUAAAAACUGUAAAUAAACAUGACUUGGGAGCCAAAAACCCAAACUGUGUAAACUUCAAAAAUUCAAUUCUAACCUGAAAUUGAACAAACAGGAGAAGCUUUAGAAAUCUAGCUCGAAAAUCACAGCUACUGAAAUCCUCUUUCUCUCUAUCACAAAAAAGCGGUCUCAAUCCAAAAUUUGAUACCCAUAUCUCAAAUUGCCAAUAAAUCGAAAACCCAGAAUCAAAAUCAAAUUCAUCGGUUAAAAAAAAAAAAAACAAUAACCAAAAACCAAAACUGAAAUCAAACAAAGAAUUACCUAGACUGCUAUGCCAAUCGACCGAACAAGAACAAGAACAACAGAAAAAGCAUUACACUUUAAUAAAAGGAUGGUGAAAAACAGGAAAGGAGAUCAAAGCAAUUGAGCUAGUAAUUAUAUUCACCAUCUAUAGUUUCCAGCCAGGUCCAGUUAUCUCUCCAAUUAGUAUUCGGGGGAUAGCAAAAAGAGGAAAGAAAGAAAGAAACGAAAUUCAGAAUGAAACUCAGAAAGAAAGAAACGCAGUUUUCUUUAUUUGAGUACAUUGCAUGUAAAGUUUGUAACUUUACCUGAUAAACUGCUAAUAAAUGAAAAUCAAAUCAGCAAGAUAUAUACUGGAAUUCGGUGCAAUCGAUCAUUAAGGUCCUAGACUGCAUAACAGACAAACGCCGAAUCAGCUCAAAUCAGGUAAUGCGAACGGUUAUCCUUCUUGAAAUGAUAAGCUCAAUCUCAAACAGUAUAGAAACCACACAAAAACGGAAUGAAAAAAAUUGAAAAUUCAAAAGCACUCAACUUAUCUAUUUGAUUUGAGCUGAGGAUUGCGAACUUCCCAAAUCUAUAGUCCCACGAAUCCAUCUUGAGGAAAAUUUAUAUUGCACUCUUUGCAUUCAAACACCAAAUUUCAUGCCAACACACAAAAAAUUCAAAUGAAAACACAAUAAAAAUUCAAAUGCAAACGCAAAAGCCAAUAAAGUCAAGCAUAACAACAUCAAGAACAUACCUGAGAAACUAACAAAUUGGAUCCCACCCAAAAUCAACCAAACUUGACCAGGCACAUGUUAACAAAUCCUCCAUAGAUUUUCACUCAAAGAUAUCUCAUCGGCUCUACACAGAAAAUUUUUAAAAAAAAUAUGGAUGGAACCAAAAGAAAAGGAUAAGAAAUACUGAGACAUUAGAGCACAUAAAAGCACUAGUUUUCAAAACACUAUCUCUUGUCUUUAGACAUAAAGAUGAAUUUACCAAUCACAACAUCGACAUAUUUUCUGAGAUUUUCACAAAGCAAAUUAAUUCACCCAUAUAUGUGUCUUAUUAAAAGAUUACCGACUAAAAGUAUUUUCUGGACAAAAACUUAAACUUAGUGAAUAUCUUGUACAUAGUCCAUCCCAAAGAGUGAUUAAAAUGUAAAAUGAAAUGAACCUGUGCAAUUAUUCUACAACUUCAAUUUGCUCUAAAAGGUCUUUUGCGACCUGAAAUCACCACGAAAAAUCAAAUCAAUAUGAGAAAAAGUAAAGAGAGCAUAAAAUGGGAUAUUUUUGUCUGUGGAUCAAAGUUCACAUUACCUAUUUCAUUUACCUGCCCAUUUUAGCUUAAAUGAUUCAGAUUAAAUUUUUAUGAUUGGAAAGGAAUGAGGAAAUUGAAAUUCAAUAGAAUCUGUGAUUUUAUGUGCAUAUGAUAUCAGGAACAUAUAUACCAAUUCCUACAACAUAUAUACAUGGGAUAAGUGUACACCAUAAUUUGUCUGCAACAAUAUUGCUUUUCCAAAUUGAGAUAUUCUCCUUAAUUAUGUCCCAGAAAAUUUUGUCUGCUGUUAAAUUUAUUCCACAAUAAGAUCAAAUUUCACAUACAUCAUCAAUUAAGAUUCUCACGCUAUCGCCAAAAUUGUAAUCACAUCCGGACAAUUGAAAAAAAAAAAACAAGAACAGCUCUGUUUGGCUACUCAGGGAAAAAAUGCAGCGAAAAAAAAGGGGAUCAACCUAACAAAAGGUGCAAGCUUAGAACCAACAUAUACCAAUUGAAAACGAAGAGAAUGGAGUCUACCGAAUCCAGCGUUAGUAUCAAUUAUGGAGUGAGCAGGGAGUGAAAACGGAAUCAUUACCUGACCUUCAAAAUCGGCCUUCAGUUUCAAGUUCCGGUCCUCAAGAGUAAGCCUCACCUGAAAAACCAACAUGCAUCCACUAAUAACUCAGACACUUAUUUUAUUAAUUUUACCAAUUGUGUAGUUUAUUUUCUCUGAAAGUUUAGCUGAUAGCACAAUUGUGUUCACCAUUCUCCAAUUGUAAGCAAUUACUCAAUCCAGAAAACAAAACAAUCAAAAACUAUAAAAACAAAAUGAGAUUUCUAGCAAAGUCAAGUCCGGGAGAGCCAAGAUUUUGUUUACCAUCGAAGAGAGGAGUCAGAGGACCAGUUCUUCCCAUUUCCUUAAAGACGAACUGAAAAAAAAAAUAAAAAAUUGUGCUCAAGCUUCCUGUUUCUUCUUUCUUUCUUUUUAUUCCAGUUUUGAGUUGAUCUCUGAUUCUACAGGAAAACUCAUAAAACUAACAUAAGGUAGCAUGCUAUUUUGAGGAAUUGAUCAGUAUCUUACUAAAACACACAAAAAUUAAUACAAGUAUAAGCAAACAGCACAGAGAAUGUGACAUGAAUCAAUACAGGUAUAAGCAAACAAAAGUGAGACCCAUUCAAAAACACACUGCAAAAUGAAUGCAACGAAAGUUUCAUGAAACAAACCAACCAUUCAAUGAUAGCCGUGCUGGUUUAAUAAUCUAAUGUAAAUAAAAAAGAGACCAAUCAGCCAGGAAAUCAAAUUUCUUGUGCAAUUUACGGAUCAAACAACACAGAACCAGGAGGCAACAAUCGAAUCACUGAAAUUAAAGAGCACUAAAAGACUAAUAAUCAGAGACCCAUUUCAAUUGGCAACACAUUAUCUUACCAAAAUUUGGGGAUAUAGGGUUUAUGGCCCAUCCCCUGAAAUUUUUUGAAGCCCUAAAACUAAUCAAACACAGAACUCAGAGAAAGUGAUCCUCACCCUAGUAAUCGCAGUUAUAUCACCGAGAGGGGUUCUUGGGUACCAAGAAGGCAACACACUGUUCGAUCUCUGUCCCCUUCUCCGGCUAGAACCUCCGACCGGCGGCGUAUUCUCUCUGGCUGGAGUCAUCAUCCCAAACGCACUACGUCGACGCCCGAUUCCGGUUCCCGGAGUCCUCAAACUGCUCGGUGCCACUCCACCGCCUGUCCCCCAAACGCACUACGUCCACGCCCGAUUAGGGUUUGGUAUUAAGGUGGAGACGGCGUUGUUGUUGUUUCGUCCACGCCCAAUUCAGGACAUGGUUAUCUGGAUGAAAAUGAAAAAGAGACGAGGGUUGUGCGAGCCUGCGAGGUGUGUAUUUUAGGCCCCGAGCACUGUGAUGGUAGAGAGAGACGAAAAUGAAAAAGAGACACGAGCAGAGCUGUUUAUGAAGGAGCGGUUAAAUGGGGGGUCUUACUGAAUUUAGGAAAAUUAAUACUUUUUAAAAAUUGAAACAUUCAAAAAUUAAAAUAAACGGGGCUACGUGGUACGUAAUAGCACACCUAUUAACGGUGAUCGAUGUUCUACAGGCAUAAUCGGUUACCAGGAUAUAACGAAGUAAAAUAAAAAAAUUAAUACUCUGUUUUCCCAAAAUUAAUCAAGUCUCAAUGCUUCCCAUUAUUAACUUUAAUACUCUGCUUCCCAUUUCAUACUUUCACAAGCCCUUUAUUUUUAUUACUAAUAAAAUUGAGAAACCAAAAACAGUAUUUUGGUUGAUAAAUUCUCAACAAACCCAAAACAAAGGAAACGUUUCCAUGUGUAAUUCGUUAACAAUAUAUUGUUUUUUGUUAACCAUAUCUCACCGUUGUCGAAUAGUGCUCUAACCUUAUAAUGUUGAAAAUUCGGUUUAGUCAUGAGUGUUGACUGAUUAUUUGAUAUUGAAAUAAUCCCGUGAUGUUGAAAUGUGAAAUAUAUCUACCUUUGUUUUAUGGUGGUAGAGAAAGCAAAGGUAGAGACGGGGGUGAUGGGUUUUCCAAGAAAGAGGGGUCAUGGAAGACAACUAAAGAAUAAAGAGUAUCAAAAGUUCUUGUAUGCACCAACAUGCAUGUGAACCAUCAAUCAUUAGCCAAUCAUAAUCAUUCAUUUAAUACCGUCAACUAAUGACACUAACAUCAAUAUUAAUUCUGUUAAAAAUAAUUGAAGCAAAAAAAAACCAUCAAUAUGGUAAAAAUAUGUAAGACUAGAGUAAAUAUUUAAUGGAUAAUAAAAAAAUUUGUUACAACCAGAAUUUUUUUUCAUUUGUUCUGAAGAAGUGAAGAACAACUCAACCAAUUUCAUCAUCUUCUCUUCCUUCUGAUCUGCUCCUAAACAACCAAUUGAUAUCGUGGAAAUUUUCCAACUCGAUCACUAAACCAAUGAUCUGCUUCUCUUCCCUUUGAUCUGCUCCUAAAUCAAAUCCCUUAUUUACUUUUUUAACACUUCAGUUUUCCAUCAAUCACAUCCUUAAUCUACUCCCAUAAACCCCAAUCCCCAUUCUUCCCACAACCUCAUUUCGAUCACUACAUUCUAACUUUCAAGCUAUGCAGCUUCGGCUUUCAGCCGUUCAAUACUUCAACCCAUGGAAACCCAGUAGCGUGAAGACCCAAAAAGGCUACGGCUUCUUCGAGAGACUUUUGAUGGUUUGAGAUCCAAAAACUCUAAACUCAAAACUUGUUUAUUCGAUUAACACGAAUUCUAGCUUUGAGUCGAAAUUUUCUAGGUCGGCGAUGAACUUCUUAGUUGGGGAGAUGGAGGGUUGAAACUUGAAACGGUGGAAAGGUUUUGGCUUUUACUGUUGUUCGACUUUUGGUAUUUGUUUGACUACAAACGACUAGCUAACGUUCUGUUAAGCCACGUGAAUUGCACACCCCUGGUUCAAGUACACCAUGGUGCACUGAAUCUGCUCCGCAAAGAGUAUACUUGGAAAAUGAAGCAGUCUUUUUUAAUACUGAUGAUGAUGUGGGAUGCUAGAGUGCGGCUAUUGAGACCUCCAAAUUUGCUCAGUGUACCUCUCAUUCUCUCUACACCUCCAUUUUACUUUUAAAUACAAACAUUUUCUCAUUAGACCUCCUUUCAAAUUCCUGAAAUAGCCUUGUUUUUGUAAUUCACAUAUAUAUUAAUAUAUUACUCAUUACACCUCUUAUUCACUCACUAUACCUCCAAUUCUUUUUUUUCUUUUUGCAUGCGAACAUCCAUUCCCGACCUUGAUUUCUUAAUUUUCUUUAUUUUUUGUAUUUUUUUAUUUUGCAUAAAAUGUCACUAGAUAUUCAUUUUUUGAUCAAAUUAUAAGAAAUAAUUUUCAAUGACAUCAAUUUUCGAGAAAAGUUCAUUCGAAUCAUAAAGAAUACUAUUCUCUUAAAUAUUAAAAAAAACAAGGAUUGUGUCUCAAAUUUUAUUUAUCGAUCAUCAAAUGAAUGUUCUUACAUGAACUAUUCUAUAUUUUUAUUACUUUUGUAUUUCUAUUUUACAUAUACUAUUUUUUUGUAAGUUUAUAUUUUUGUUUUUAUACUCAUGAUGAUAAAUUAUUUUAAUAAUUGAUAGAUCAUAAUUUGUAAAAAUAUUUACUUUUUUAUAAUAAUUGAUAGAUCAUAAUUUUUGUAAAAAAUUUCACUUUGUAUAUGCAUGUGACAUGUAUGAUAAUAUAAAUAUAUAAAUACUUUAAUAAGUAUGUGAUAAAACUAGAAAAUAAAAAUCAAUAAGGAAAAUAAUAAUAUGCAAUCCAUUAUGACAUUAUUAUUGAAUUAGAAAGUUUAGAGAUAAUAAAUGUAAUAUUACUUUUUGUUUAAUCAGUGUCCUUAAUAGUCAUUGUGUAAGAGGAUAAAUAUGUUAUUUAAUAAUUCAUAAUAAAGUGAGGUCAAGUGAGAAAAUUUAGAGGUCUCAAUAGCCGCACUCGGGAUGCUAAUGCGGUACUUUCUUUCUUAUUUGAACUUUUAUUGUAUUAGGGUUUCCCAAAAACAUUUUCUUUUGCGUUAACACCUCUUAAUGAGUUGAUGUGGUGCUAUUUUUAUACUUUAUCUUCAUAUCAAUAAUGUGUUUCUUUAUCUAUAAAAGUAAAUAAAUAAAUAAAUAAUUGAAUAGCUGAUUUUACUAUUGAAGAUAAGUUAUAAAAUUGUUCAUGAUAAGUUCACAGAAAACCACUAUUGAAAAAAAAACUCAGCUUUCUUAAGACAAGAAUUGAAGAACUCAAGUCAGUACUCACUUGUUUCAAGUCAUCUUCAAUGUCAUCAUUUAUGUCAGCCUCUACUCCCCUGAACUUGAUCGCAGCUCUAUCAUACACUGCAGAAAAUAAUUUAUAAUAAGUAACCAACUAAUCAUUAAAAUUCCUACAUGUUUUUGGCUCACAUUUUCUUUGAGAAAUUUUUUGUUUGUUUCCCUAGAAAAUAUAAGAUUUUUUAUGGCAAGCAAAAUAGUACUCACCAAGCAGCUGCAUGUGUUUAGGGUAUGCUGUGUUAAAUCAAACUAUAGGGUGUCCAAAACUAAAAAAAAAAAAAAAAACUUAUCAGAAAGACCAAUUUAUUUGCAAAGACAAAACAAGUGUCAUUUUGUCAAUUCAUACUUGCAUUCAUAGAAAAAGAGGUACUGAAGCUUUAAAGUGGCAUAUUUCAAUUCAUAGUUGGUGGUAUACUGAUAUACAUACUACUCUCUCACCUUAUAAAACAGGAAAAACCAUGAAUGAUGAUAAGACAAUUAAGUAUGGUAAUACUGUAAACACACACUAUUCAAACCAUAAAGUUGAGCCACAAAGAAACAUUAACAUUGUAGGUAAAGUUGAAAAAAAAGACCUACAUUUUAGAAUAGCUGCAAAGAGAAUAAGCAAACCUGAAUCUAGAACUACAUAAAAACAAAAAUGUGCAAUUAAUCAAAAACAUAAUUAUUGAGGAAUAUAAAGCAAAUAGACAACAACAUUGUUACAAAAAUUGAAGAAAAAAAAAGAAAAAAAAGGCAGACACCCAUACACCCAUCUUGAGGAAAAAAAAUUAAUAUCAACUAAACAUUUACUCUGACUCGGAAUAUACUCCUUUAUUUUUCUGCACUAUAAAGCAAAUGAAAAUAUCAAACACACUAUGACCACAGUUUGAUCUAAUUGAACGAACCCAAAAGAUUGAAAUCCUUGAUCUAACUAGAAAAAUAUAAAAAUCUAAGCAAAUACAGAUAUGACAAAAUAUGAUUUUUUCACUCACCUUGAUCCAACACAAAGGAUUGAAACCUUUAGAGCUAAUACUGGCAUUCAUCACCAUUGCUAGUUUCCAGCCAGCUCCAAUUAUCUCUUCAAUUUUAUGAUUGUUUUUGGUAAAUCGAAAAUCAGUGACCUGCGCACAACUUCAAUGAUAAAAACUAGUGAUUUAAAUCGUUGUGUUUGGCCCUUACACACAAAAUCUGAUAGUUAUAGUUGAUCAAUUUCAAAUUGCAUGCCACUUUAUAAAAGAAAUCAUCAAAAUUUUGCAGAACCACAAAUGUAAAGACAUUAGUUUUAUUUCAAAUAACAUUGCAAAGUUGAAAGAAAAGAUUGUAACUACAAAACAUAUAAACAGCUUAUGGAGUAACCUCUAUGAAUUUUUUUUAAGCUUCGAUUUGAACAGCUGCUUGCUAACCAACUCUAUGUUCUUUUACACUCCAAUAGGCGUAAUGUGAAUCAUUUCUAGAAUCCUUGUGUCAUUGUAAUUCCAGAAAGAAAAUCUUGGUUUUCUGAGCUUCUUGAAUACAGGAUUGAAGACCAGACUGCAUUUUUCAAACGUCAAUGAGACUUUCAGAAGAAAAAAAGAAAGGGCCUGAGUAUUGUGUUUGAUAUGACAUAUUUUGAAAAGUUACCUAUCAAUGACAAAGAGACCCAUAACUUACAUUCAAUAAGUAUGAAAUUCUAGGGGAAUCCUCAUCCAAGUAGACUGAAUUACUGAUUGAUUCUAAAAUAAGCUCCUUGAGACAACUUAAAUAUCCAUCAAAACCCUACUCUCACUCUAAAAUAACUUCUAGUAGGUAAAAAAAAUUUCCGGCACCAUUAUAUAGCCUUGUUUCAUUACUUUCAAAACUGUUAGAGAUGCAGAUAGAAGGAAACAUACAGAUAGAUGCAACCGCAGUAUGUAUAUCAAACCUAAAACUCACUUUCCUUCAGUCUUCAUAUUUAGUCAGUCCCAAUCCAUUAAUAACAUUUCCAAAGCACCAAAUUGCACUAUCAAUCAAAUCCAUAUAUAACUUGACACCACCAAAAUACACACUUUAUAAACCCCAACAUAAUAAAUUCUAAUUAAACAAUGAGCAUGAAAGAAAACAUUAAAUCAAUAAUUAUACCCAUAAUUGGCUUCUGCCAUUCAAAAUCAGCAUCCUCAAAACAAGAUCAAAUUUUGAUUACUAGAUAAAAACCCUAAAUCCAACCACAGCCGAAAUCUCAACCCCCAAUUAUCCUUAACGAUUUCCCAAUUUCCCAAUUUCCCAAUUCCCAAUCCCAAACCCUAUUUGACAGAGAUCAUCCACAAAUAGGCACAACAACAACAACCAAAAUCUGCCAGCAAAAUCAGAAAAUAAAUAGUUAGCCUUAAAGUUUAUAUAGUGAACAUAAGGAGACAAAAAAUUCUUAUCUAAUGAAAUAUAAAUCAUAAAAAAAUUGAAACAAUCUAAUAAACUUUUCAUAAAACUCUAACCACAGUUUCAACUAACCGAAUAUUACAGUAAAUUUAUUUGCGAACAUGUUGGACCAAUAAAAAAGAAUCCAAAACAAACCCGCCACCUGAACAUAACAGAAUACCAUAAAAUUCAUAAUUGAAUAGAAACAAUGAAAAUGAGUUCUGAUGUUGAAGAUGCAUAACAAAGUCUCCCAAAAUAAAUAAAUAAAAAGAGCAAUUCCUAUAAUAAAGCAUAUCUUCAUCAACUCUAGUACACCAUCAUUAACUCAACUAUAAAGCAAUAUUGAGAAAACUGUUUUCUAAGCAAAAUAUUAGAAACAUGAUUGAAUUGAAGUUUUAGCCGUCAAUUUAAUCCACAAGACCACAUUGGAAACAGAUUAUUCGUAUGUAAAGACUGCAACUGCAAAACAUAUUAACAUAUUAACAGACACAGUUAAGGAGUUACCUCUAUGGAUCAAAACAAAACGAUAUAACUGGUUUUAAUGACGUUAUCUUUGAAUUUAUGAAAUGUCAUUAUGAAAUUCCAGGGAAUCCUCAUCGAAGUAAGACUGAAUUAUUGUUUGAUUCUAAAUAAGCUCCAUGAGACAGCUUAAAUAUCCAUCAAAACCCCACCCUGACUGUAAAGUAACUUCCAGUAGGUUCCGACACCAGUUAUAUAGCCUUGUUUCAUUGCUUCCAAAACUAUUAAGAAUGCAAAUAAAAGGAAACAUACAGAUUCAUUAAUAACAAAACAUUGCUUCACUCAACCUUUGUAUUAGCAAAUGCAUAUACAUUAGGAAGUCAGAUGUUAUGCGCUACAACUGAAGCUGCCCAUAUGUUCUGCACCAUAACUCAUGUUCUGCAUUAGAAUGUAAGAGAAUUUUUUUAAUUUUUUUUAUUGAAGCUACCCAACCUUUGUAUUAGCAAAUGCAUAUACAUUAGGAAGUCAUAUGUUCUGCACCAUAACUCAUGUUCUACAUUAGAAUGUAAGAGAAUUUUUGUUGUCAUACCCAGCAAUAUGAAGUUACCCUUGAUCGAAGGUUAUGCUAAAUACAGAUUCUCGUAAAAAAAUUAAAGAUUCAAAGAUAAUAAAUGUUUCUUAACAACGGGUAAUACUGGAUUUUACAGGUAAUUUCACAACUAAGAUUCCAAAAACACACAAAUCAAUGAACACCAACCAAAAUUCAAGCUACAAACUCCAUAAAAUCCCAGAACAAAACUGAGCCUGCAAUUCCAUAACCACUUGAAAAUCACUAACAUUAAAAAUUAAAAAUAUAACAAAUCAACCAAAGCACAAAAAGUUGAAAUCACAAACAGAUAAGAAAGGCCAAUACCAACAAUUUUUGAUUUGGUUUUAAUUCAGUGAUAUUAACAGUCUUUUUUGGUAAUUUGGUUUCCCAUGAUGAAAACCCAAGAUUUAAUUUUAGAGAUUUUAGAGGGAAAACGGUUCUGAUAAGAAUUAGAAGGUUAUUUUUGUCAUUAUAUCUUUUUUUGUGGGCCAAAUGCUGGCCACAUCAGCAAACAGACGGCACCACCAUGAUAGAAAUUGAACUCCAGCCUUUCUUUUAUAUCAAAAUCAAAAUUUGGGUAUCACAUUGGUAGUUUUUAAAGUCUGAGUAUCAUUUUGACAGUGUCACACACACAAGUUGAGAUUUCGGCGCUGCAUUUUAUUCCUUAAAUAAUGACUUCAAUUAUUUAGCGUGUGAAAAAAAGAAAAAAGAGAAAAGGAAGGUGCUGACUGGCAGAAUGCAAGGCGCACUUUCAAAUUAGGUUGUGUUUUGUCUUUUUCUUGGUUAUGUUUUUUGCUUCAUCUGAAGAAAACGUGAAGAACCCCGUUAGACAAGUAUGGUCGAUCGGAAUGAGGAGUCGUUGCCGCAGCUGAAGAAAUCACGAACUAUAACCGGCGACGAGGCAACCCCAAUCUUCCCGGGCCCACUGUUCCCAGCGGUUCGACGCAACGCUUCGGACCAGCGCGACUUCUCGGAGCGUGACUGGGUCUUUCCGUCGUUCGUGCUUCCGCAGAAUCCUUCGAAACGAAGCAGCAGCAACAAGCACCGCGCCGCCUCCUCCUCCGAUGCAUCCGUCACCUCGCCUCAGCUUGCUGCUGCUGCUGAGAGUAAGAAAAUUAAGUUGGUGACCCCGAGCGAGUUGACUCGCCCGAGUUCGCGGACCCGGACUCGAGAUUUGAAACCUUUUUCUUUGUUGUUAUUUUUGGUAAUGGAUCCUCUAGCCAUCUUUCUUUCAUUAUUGAUUUCGAUGCAUUUAGAUCUCUCAAUUAAAAAGGAAAAUUUACAAGCACAAAAGAAAUGCCUUUUUUUAGUUUGAUAUCAUCCCACUAGUUUCCAAUAUUAUUGUAACUUAGCCUACAGACUAGACAUGAUUGUGUAUUUGUACUUGCUGCAUUUGUGCUCUUGGGACACAACGGUUCAUAAUAUGAAAUGAUAAUGGAGAAAUACAAGCAUGACUGUAUUUAGGGUUGAAUAUUGGGAACUGUUGCCAUUGUCCUACUUUUAAAUCCUUUCAUGGCUCAAUGGUGAGCAAAUUUACUGGACAGAAAUUUAAAUUCAUGUCUGGUCUAUUUCCCUGUAUUUGAUCAAUUGCAUUUAACUUCUGUUCUUGCAGCUCACUUUCAUUUGUAUAUUAUCUGUACCUUAUGCAGUUUAUCUGCGGCAAAGAGUUGCAAAGCUUGAGGUAUGUCUCAUGGUUUGAACAACUCCUAAGUUUCCCAUUUAAAUUCUUCUUUUGACAAGCUAUAUUACAUUAACCUAACACUACAUUGUGAUGCUUUCAGGAAAUUUGUAUGGAUAAAAAUAUUGGUACAUAUGGCAAUAUUGAGGCUUCGCUGUCUGAUAACAAUCCGACAAUUUUGAGUUUUCCUAAUGCCGAAAGAAGAACUGUUGUUUUGUAUUCUGUGGUCUUUACCCUAGCCAUGCCAAUUGUGUUGUACAAACAUCUUGAUUAUUUUUCCCAUUUGACGAGCCUUUCAAGAAAGAAGAAUAACAAAGAGGAGGUUCCCUUGAAGAAGAGGAUAGCCUAUAUGGUGGAUGUGUGCUUUUCUGUAUAUCCAUAUGCCAAACUACUGGCACUUCUCUUCGCAACAAUAUUACUAAUAGGGUUUGGUGGAUUGGCAUUGUAUGCUGUCAAUAAAAAUAGCUUUGCUGAAGCCCUCUGGCUUUCAUGGACUUUCGUUGCCGAUUCUGGAAACCAUGCUGAUACAGAGGGCAUUGGGCCAAGGAUAGUUUCUGUCUCUAUCAGUUCAGGAGGCAUGCUGAUAUUUGCCAUGAUGCUUGGGCUUGUUUCUGAUGCUAUAUCAGAGAAGGUUGACUCACUAAGGAAAGGGAAGAGCGAAGUCAUUGAAAGGAACCACAUACUCAUUCUUGGAUGGAGUGAUAAACUGGUAAGUUUGAGACAUUCAUGCCCAGAUCAAAGUGCUGAGGAAGACCAUUAUGGAGACUUAAAUCUAUCUGCUGCUCUUUUUUUUUGUAUUUGUUUCCUGUUUUUCUUUUCUUUUCUAUAUCCCAUCUUAUUUCAUAAUGAUGACAAAAAGAAACAAAGUAAUAAAAAAAAUUGAGAUUAAUAUAUUCAAAGCGAGAGAAGAAAUGAGUGGCUAUUCAAGCAAGAUGACAAAGAUUUGAGAAAAGUUUCAUAUUAGCUUUCCUACAGUUUACAGAAUUAGGAUUUCUAAAUAUUAUUUUUUCAUAAUUGUUGUUCAAUAUAUUAAUACAGUCUUAGAAAAUAUAUUUUAGUGUUCUAACAAAAGUGGCCUAUCUAUAAUGGCUAUAAUGGAAAAUUUAAUGAUAGUGACUAUAGUGAAAGAUGGUGAUUAAGUUUAGUGAUAAAGGUGGUGUUUUUAAUAGUUCAGUGACGAAAGUGUCAGAUUUGUCAUAGUUGAGUGACCAUAUGACACAGGAGUGUUAGAAGCUUUAACUUGGCUGUAUUAUACAAUGAAUUACAGCUACUCACAUUAAUCAAUCUAGCUGAAGACUCUAAACCAUAGUUAUCUAGUCAAAUAGUGCUGGUGGUGGGUAGUGUGAGAAUUAAUUGGUUUGUCUUCUGUUAUUGGUUUGUUUUUGUUUGUUUCUAGGAGUUUCAGUUUCCCAGCAAGUCUCAGUUGAUAUUUACUAGUCUUCGGGAAGGUACAUAGGUUGGGAGGUUUUUCCAGGAGUCCUAUUAUAUUUUAGACUCCUUUGUAUUAAAGAAGUCAGUUUUUGGAGAGAAUAUCAGAAUAGACGUUUCCUGGAGAAACCUUCUUUCUUACUCUGUAUCUCGUUGGUUCUUAGACCAUUGAGUGGUGAGUUCUUUUGAUUUCUUGACAGACACUUAGUUGGUGAAAUUUCUGUCUCCUAGUGUUGGUUGGGAAUAGGUUCUUGUUUAUCUUUUAAUCUGCUGUUCCGGUAUCACCAUAUGUGAUUUUUAGCCUAUAAGAUCUAAGUUUUAGUUCUGUAUUUAUCUUUACAUGGUUUAACAAACAACUCUUGGUUUAACAAAUACAAUUCCUAUAUUUGUUCCAUUAAAAUAUUAGCAUGGAGUUCCCUUGAUUGCUCUUCUGUUCUCAGUUUAGUUGUAAAACAUGGUCUCUAACGGAGCUUUUAUUAAGGACUCAUACUUAAAAGUAAAAGUGAAAACUAAAACGUAAUUUUACUGCAGGGUUCGCUUCUCAAGCAGCUUGCUAUAGCAAACAAGAGUGUUGGUGGUGGUGUUGUUGUUGUACUUGCUGAAAGAGACAAGGAGGAAAUGGAGAUUGAUAUUGCAAAACUUGAAUUUGACUUCAUGGGUACGUCUGUUAUAUGCAGAAGUGGCAGUCCUCUUAUUUUUGCUGACCUAAAGAAGGUAUAUUGGGGAGAUUUGAUAUAUGCUCAUGUACCCCUACUACUUCUACUUCUGUUUCUUGUCUUGUCUGAGUGUCCAGUAUACCCUCUCUCAAAAAACAAAAACAAAAAAUUCUAUAGCCGUUCUUCCGACUACUUGUAGAUUUUAUUGGGACGGCAUUAUCAACGGUUGUUGUCAGAAGUGCCUCCUAAUUUUUCAGUCAUUUUUUUUUUUGCUCNNNNNNNNNNNNNNNNNNNNNNNNNNNNNNNNNNNNNNNNNNNNNNNNNNNNNNNNNNNNNNNUCUUCUCUCUCUCUCUCUCUCUCUCUCUCUCUCUCUCUCUCCCACUUGUCUGUUUUUCUAAAUGCAUUCCUUUUCAUUUUCUUGUUCUUGAUUAGAUCUCAAGAAACUAUAUCUUGCUAUUCAGAUUAGCUUUGUUUUCUCAUUUCCAGGUCUCAGUUUCAAAGGCGCGUGCUAUCAUUGUAUUGGCAUCAGAUGAAAACGCAGAUCAGGUUAAUUCCAUUGUGAAUGCCCUCUUACAUUACCCCUUGUAGAAACUUUAGUCACAUGUGGUGUUCAUAUUUCAGAGUGAUGCACGUGCUCUGAGGGUUGUUCUCAGCCUCACUGGGGUGAAAGAGGGUUUAAGGGGACAUGUUGUUGUAGAGAUGAGUGACCUUGAUAAUGAGCCUCUGGUGAAGCUUGUUGGAGGAGAACUCAUUGAAACUGUAGUGGCACAUGAUGUGAUUGGGCGGUUAAUGAUACAGUGUGCUCUACAGCCUGGUCUUGCGCAGGUAUUGUUGUUAUCUAUACUUCUUAAAGGACCUGGUAAUCGUAGAAAUGACUAAUAAGAGUAGAUUUGACUGUAGGUAAAAAGUUUGUUUCCCUAAGUUCUAUAGAUGUGAUUUCUUUCUGAUUGAAGUAAACUUGCAUAGUAACAGAGUUCGGUGGUGUGACCGAGGUGGAAUGGGGUAGGGUUGGAUACGCUGGUUAAGUUGGGCCACUUUUUGUGCCAGGGAUUACAUGGUCCCAUAUAUAAGCAGGGUGGGACCUAUAUGGUUGUGCAAACUUCUGUUUUCCCAGCUUAACAAUACAGGGUUUGGGAAGGUCCUAAAACCUACAUUGAUAUAGGUGCUCCGAAUUCUAGCUUUAUCGUAGGAAAAAAUUGAAAGAUUUAAAUAAAAAUGAAAUCUAAGACUUAAAUAUUCCUUCCGUAUGUUUGAACUAGUCUGAUGUUAUUAUUGCACUUUGCUAUUCAUUUUCCCAGACUGUUAUGAUUACCUCACAUUAAAUGCUAAUUCUUAUAGCCAAAACUUUGAAGCAAGGCGUCAUCUAUCAUUCUCAUUGAAAAUUAAGAUCUACUUUCAAACAAAAGAUAAGAAACCCCAAGUCACCUAGCACCACCAAGUACAGAGUGGGGAGGCUUCCCGUAGUCUCCUUUCUUCUAUUUUUCUGUUCCGUUCUCCUUUGGUUAAAUCUUUUGUAGUCAAUGCCAAGUCCCUUGUGCUGACUUUAUCUGAUCCCUCAUCACAUCUUUUUCCCUUAUCAGUGAGGUCGGUCCUUCCCCCAAUACCCUCUCUAAAAUAUAUGUUUAUCCCCGAUUAGAAAAAAAUUCACUCUUAUAUGCCCACUUGCUUUUGGCAAUCUUCAUCUGAUUCUUGUGUGGUUAAGAGUUUGUUGGGUUCACUAUUAUUUGCUCAGUCUGCAAUUUCUUCUUGGUUGGUGAGAGGCAGUGGGUUCUAGUACGGCUUCAGUUUGGCGGUACUCUCAUGCUUUAGGUUUAUAAAUUCUUCUAGAUUUUUGAUCAUUUUGAUUCUGUGGGCUUGGCCAGGGAUCAUAUUUUGGUUCGCUGGUGGCUUUGUAAUUUUAGUGCGGCUUUUAUCCACUUUGCUAUCGCGGGUUUGCCCUUCUUGGCCUGUUGCUUUUGCUGUGUUGUUGAGUUUGGCAUCUUUUCUAAUUAUCUUGAUGUAAGUUAAAGUUACACUGUAAGUUAUUGAGUUUAUUAAAAAAAAAUAUUAUUAAAGGAAGGGAGUUCUGGGAAAAGUCUUAUGGUAUUUCUCAUCAUACUUUUAGCAGGAUCUUUUAUUAAAUAGGCAUCCUCAGUUUUCUCCUUUGCAAAACUAGUCUUCAUAAAGAAAAUAAUUUCUGACUUGUCACAAUGAGAAUUAACAUUAGGAGAUUAGGAUUCCAUUGAGGGAUUCCAUUCUUGACGUCAUCUAGGUUCCACUCCUCAAUGUACUUGAAUGAUUAAAAAUGUCAACCUUUUUACUUUUCAUUCAUGUAUCAGCAAUGCUAACCGUACCUAAAUAUAAAAUUAUAUAGAAUUGAAUUGCAGUCCUACUCAACAUUUGAUAAAUCCUGGACUAGUAUGAUGAUAAUGAAAUGGUUAUAAAGUUUCCUAUGAAUUUUUAGCAAAUUAGGUCGGAGAAAGGGGUUCCUCUUCGCUGUUCCUGUUACAUGCACACGUUGUUUGUAUGUAGAUUGCUGUUAAACUCAGUGAAAUUUGUCCUUUAAUACUGUUUCAAGGAUAGGAUGCCUAUGUGUUUUAGAGUUGCACACAAUACAUGCACAACCACAACCAGAUACUUGUUUAAUCCGUCUUUCUCUUGAUCCGUCUUUCUCUUGUCAUUUCUCCACCAUUAUACUGUAUAAUAUCUGUUUUUCAAUUCUGGAAAACCAUUUGUACAAGACUUUCUUUGGUAUGAAUAUAGAUAUUAUUGCUAAUGCAUUAUUUUUCUGUGGUAAGAUAUGGGAGGAUAUAUUGGGAUUUGAGAAUGCUGAGUUUUACAUCAAGAGGUGGCCUCAGUUGGAUGGUCUUCGUUUUGAAAAUGUGCUUAUUUCAUUUCCUGAUGCAAUUCCCUGUGGGAUCAAGGUGGCCGCAGAUGGUGGAAAGAUAAACUUAAAUCCAGAUGAUAAAUAUGUUAUAAAAGAAGGGGACGAAGUUCUUGUUAUAGCUGAAGAUGACGACACUUAUGCUCCAUCUGCCAUUCCAGAGGUUAUUGAUCUCUUCUCUAUGUAGCAUCAUGAAGUAGAAAAUCUAUAUUUGCUUGUAGCAACCAUAUCAUAUAACUAGAACAUAAAAUUGUGAGGACCUUUGGCAAGAUUCAGCCGAAAUCAUGCAAUAGUCGUGUGGGAAACUGUUGAACAAUUUAUCAUUAGAUUUUGGUAGCCCACUCACAUCCAUGCAAUGGUUCAGUGGGCUGUAACUGAAUAGUAGGUUGCUGUGACAGCAUGGUUGUGGGUCAAGAUAGUGGGCUGUUACUAGAAUCGUGGUGGUUGGUGACCAUGAAUGGUAGUUGUUUUUUUUUUUUUCUUUUUUUUUCUUUUCUUCUCUCUCUCUCUCUCUCUCUCUCUCUCUCUCUCUUCUUUUUCUUUUCUUGUGUUUCAAAACAAUUGGAGAGGUAAAGAAAUGAUAAAAGGUACUAAGGUAGUGCAUAGAGGAUCUGUAUAGUUGAAAGGAAAAUGUUCAUUGGUCCCAGUGUGAGUUAAGAAACAUAAAUAGUAAAAAAAAAAUAUAAUAUUCAAAGACUGGAUAAUAAAGUUGGAAGGUAACCUUUGUGGCGUAGUCAAUUGUUACAUGAAAGUGCCACAUUGUUCCUCCAAAAACAGGUUUGACACGUUCUGAUGGCAGGGUUGGAGAUGCUAUUUUGCUGUGAUUAAUGCUUAGAGAUUUAAUAUUUCAAACUAUAGCAUCUUUCUUUUCUGCUUCUAUCUCUGUAUGAGUAUAGCUAUAACCCACUAUGUUGCUCAGUCAUAAUUACUUGGUAUACACAUGCUGGUUAAAUUUACGGCACAGUUUCUGGUUGUCAGUAAAUCAUAUAUGGACUGUGUCCAUGUAUUCUGUUAUAUUUCUUAUGGAAUCAAUAAUUGUCUUACAGUAAUACUAAUAGUGUAUCUAUAGUUACUCAUUUGCUGCAAGAAAUCAACAUUGUAUUAUGACUAGUAUCCUUUAGUCCUUUCUAAGUAAAGAGAAUAUACUUUUAUUUUCCUAUUGAACAUACCUGAGUGUUGUUGUCCUUUCGGCAGGUAUGUGCUGGCCUUUGUCCAAACACUGUUGAACCUCCCAAAUACCCUGAGAAGAUAUUGUUCUGUGGCUGGCGUCGUGACAUAGACGAUAUGAUACUGGUAACUCAAUUAAUCCAUAUUUUCCUUUCCCUACAUUAGCUAUACCUGAGGAACAAAAUAGUUUUGGUUUAUGUGGGACGAGAAACAAGUUAACUAUCCUAAGAGUGACAGGAAAUCUGUUUCCUCUGAAAUCCUUGGAUUCUUUGUGAUCCUCUCUCUCUCUCNNNNNNNNNNNNNNNNNNNNCUCUCUCUCUCUCUCUCUCUCUCUCUCUCUCUCUCUCUCUCUCUCAAACAAGGCAACCUUGGUGAAUAUUAAAUGAUACAAAAAUAAAAUAAAAGGUCAUCAAGUGGAAAGUCGGAUUCCAGUCAUUCCACGAAUAACUCAGGUUUCAAAACUCUUGACUUGAUUUGUUGAUAUUCCAUUCUUCAGGUUCUAGAGGCAUUCUUGCCUCUAGGUUCGGAACUUUGGAUGUUUAAUGAGGUUCCAGAAAAAGAAAGAGAGAAGAAACUUACAGAUGGUGGACUUGAGAUUUCUCGAUUGGAGAACAUAAAACUCGUUCACAGAGAAGGAAAUGCUGUGAUAAGACGGCAUCUAGAGAGUCUUCCCUUGGAGACUUUUGAUUCUGUAUGUACCAAUCCACUCCUCAUAUUUCAGAAUUUGGUUACCACCUGCAUAAUGUUUUCAGCUGGAGCUCAACUGUUAAUUGUAGCACUCAUCAUGCCACUUGUUUCCUUGACCAUUGACACUGAUUCAAAUAUAAUAGCAUGCUAUGCCUCUAGACAUAAAUGAGUCAAUUUCAAAGUUUCCUUAAGACUACUUUUUAUCUGAUAGCUAACUCUAAGCCGACAGAUAUUAAUUCUUGCAGAUGAAUCACUAGAGGACUCUGUUGUGCAUUCUGACUCUAGAUCCCUUGCCACUCUUCUCCUUAUACGAGAUAUACAGGUAACUGUAAUUGCUGCAUCCUACAAGACAUGUCACGCGAUAAAAUAAAAGGCUUACAUAAUUGCUUAUCAAAACCUGUGAUAAUAUCUUGCUUGUUCUAGAGUGCAGUCCUUUAGAAAGGGGAAACAUGUUUGGGCCCACACUAUAGUUGGUCGAAUGAUGCAAACGAUCCAUUAAUAAGUUCCCUUAAGGAAUCACCCUUGGAUUUUUAAUUUUUAGUUUUUUACUGUAGUUUUUUAAAUAUUUUGAAAUGUGAUGUGUUGGUAAGUAAUCAUCUAAUUCAUCUUCUAUUGCGUGCCAAGAGGUCAUAAAAAGGGGUGGAUGGUUAUCCUACCACUUCCACUCGUACAGUGUCUGAGUUUUUUCACUCCUGUUUGCUUGAUCAAUCACCAAUAAAAAAAAGUUUAUUGCUCCUGCUUGCUUAAUGAAUCCCUAUAAAAAAACUGUUGAAGCAUUAAUGCAUUAUCAUAAUAUUGAUAAAGUUUGAUUACUAAACAAUGAUAUUCUUUUGUUUUGGAUUGUAGUCAAAGCGUCUUCCUUACAAAGAAACAAAGCCAACUUCCUUACGGUUAUCUGCAUUUUCGCAUAGCUCUUGGAUUUGUGAAAUGCAGCAAGCUUCUGACAAAUCGAUAAUAAUAAGUGAAAUUCUGGAUUCUAGGACUAGAAACCUGGUCUCUGUUUCCAGAAUCAGUGAUUAUGUGCUGUCAAAUGAACUUGUUAGUAUGGCUCUGGCAAUGGUUGCUGAAGAUAAGCAGAUAAAUCGUGUUCUUGAAGAGCUAUUUGCGGAGGAGGUACUCUCCAGUCUUUCUGGAAUUGAUUUUAUACGAACAUGCUGUGGUAGUUUAUAUGUGCAUUAGGAAAACAGAAAAAACAAAUGAGGACGCAGUGUAAGUUUUGUAGGCUUUGGAUAGAUCAAUAUGGACAAGUUGAAAUUAAGAACUGAAACUUUAUAGGCUUGGAUUAUUGUGGUUGAAUGCAGGGGAACGAGAUGUGCAUAAAACCGGCUGAACUCUAUUUAUACGACCAGGAAGAGCUCUGCUUUUAUGAUAUAAUGCUUAGGGGUCGUCAAAGGCGGGAAGUUGUGAUUGGAUUUCGCCUUGCAAAUACAGAGAGGGCCAUAAUCAACCCAUCACAGAAAUCAGCAGUACGGAAAUGGUCUCACGAUGAUGUUUUUGUGGUCAUCUCCAUAAGUGAAUGAAAUGUCAUUUUUCGCAUGUAUUAAAUGGAGUACGGGUGUCAUCUGGACCUACCUGUUUGUCACUUCCCAACUUGAUACAGCAACUGAUUUAAUGAAUUCAAGGGUCUAGUCAUUGGCUUACUAUACUGGAAACGAAUGUUCUGGAUUCAUGGGGGAAGAGAUUUGUCGUUGUGCAGUGCCUGUUCAUAUUGAACAACAUGGUGUCAUCUCCCACUCGAGUUCUUUGUAGAUAGUCAGAAUGUCUAGUUGCUUAUAUGGAAAAGGGAUAUCUGCAUUGUAACUUAAAAUCAGAAUAUCUAGUUGCUUAUAUGGUGCAACCUGCAAGCAAUCCUUGUAGUUGAACAAUUCUGUCUAGCAUGACAGAUUGACAGAUUCUGUAUCUGUCAAUUUGUAUCGACAGCAUGUUCGUAUCGACAGCAUGUUGUUAACUAAGAUUUUUUUUUUUUUAAGGUAAGAAUGAGGCCAAAGGCCCAGAACAAAGAAACUACAAAUAGAAACUAACCAGUACUACUGGUUCUAAAACUUCCACACCUAACAACUCCCACAAUAUCAUCAAGGAGAGCUUAGCAGGGGGCUCAUGGAGAUAACAGAUGACUUGAGCAUUGAGAGUACUGUUCUUGGCCAGCAAAUCAACAACCAUAUUCCGCUCACGGUGAACAUGCUUAACAUGGACUGAGGCAAAAUGUUGAAGCAUAGACCUGCAAUUUGCCACAAUGGUGCCCAGAGGGUGAUACUCACUCUCAUAAUUUUGCAGAAGAUUGAUGAGAACAGCAGAAUCUGACUCCACUUUGGAAAUCUGACCAGCAAUAAUCCAAGGCCCUCCACAUAAAACCUCAUUCAUGUCAUCUUCUAGAUUAAACUUGACAAUGAAAUAAUAAUUAGGCAAGUCCACAAGUUGCCAACCUCCUUUAGUCUGCCAUUUGCGUCUUCUUAAGAAUGAAAUCAAAAGUAUUUGUAGAGUUAGGCCAUCCAAAAUCCAGUUUGUUAUGGACCUUCUCAGAAAAGCAGACCUUCAAACCAUGCUUGCCUUGAGAGUAGCAUCAUAGAAAUUGAAGUCCUCCAUCAUCGUUGUUUGAAAUCGGUCAACAAGAUUCUUGAGCAUAGAUGCGUAGCUCAGAGAUGGUAGAGACUGAGGAGGUUGAACACAGCAAGAAUCCAAUUCCUCCGUACGUAAAUUUUCUAGAUCUGAAGAAAUAUCGUUUCCAGAUUUGGUACGUUUGCGCUGUAACAUUGAAGUAUCAGAAACUCUGCCGCUUCCGAGUGGAAGGGCAGAGAACAUGAAGACCGACGUCGCCACCACUUCAGAAAAGAAGACCAAGGAAUUCGCUGGAAAACGAAGGAAGAAUUAGGCCAAUCGAUGCAAUCAGUAGGGUUCUCUCUGUUUCGCUGGGCUCUCGAACAAGGACGAGAUGUUAACUAAGAUUUUUGUAACAAUCAACACCUAAUUUAUAUUUUUUAACAAUUCUGUCAUUUAAAAUGAUGAUUGUGAUAGUCUGCUCUAGAUAAUUGAGAGUUUAUGAAAAAUCAGUUAAAUUAUUUAAGUUGAUUAUUUGAUGAUGAUAAUAAUAAUAAUAAUAAUAAUAAUAAUAAUAGAAAAAGAAGAAGACAAAAACUACGGUUGCAGUUUUACAAAAGCGGAGAUGGGUUUGAUUAUCUGUGAGUAUAUCGGUAUAGCCAAGAAUAAGAGCAACGCGCACUCAAUACUUUUUUUUUUGGAUACAUGGGGCCAAAGGCCCAAACAAAGGAACAACAGAUGUUGAGGAUGAAAAUCUGGUUAGGGGCUAAAAAGGAAUGCGCACAGAGAGAUCCAUGCAAAUUGGGAUUUAUCCGUCAAGAGAUUGUUCACUAGACCUACGAAGCGAACAAAGAGGUUGAGGGAAUGUCCGGAUUGCUCCGGACAAUUGCCCUCUAACGCUCAAGUUAGACAUCUUAGUAGACAAUUUGUAACUCAAAAUGGGGGAAUGAGUUAGUUACCUUUAUUUGUGAGGCUAGAUGCCUAUUUAUAGAGGUUGAGCGAGGUAGAUUAUCUUCAUGGCUGUUGACAGCCUGGCACGAAAGGAAUCUUCUAGAAGCGUGCAUAGAAUCGAGGCGCACACGUGCGUCCACGUGUCCGGUUGGGAUGCGUUCUGGGGUAAGUUUAUGAUAUGAGAACGCACACGCAAGGCUAAUUAAAGCGCUUGGCAUUGGUUCCCUCCACAAGUCCCCCAAAUUCCCAGGUAAGGAUAAUGACUUGGUUGGAGAUAAUACAGAUGCAGCAAUAUAUUAUACAAUAAUACUAUUACAAAAAAAUUAAAAUAAAAUAAAAAAACAGAACAACAUAUUUCAGAGCAAAAAUAUUGAGGAAUGUACAACAAACAAUGAGCAAUAUUGUAGCCAAAUUUGAAAAGGAAAAAAAAAAAACUUUACCCAGCAUUUGAUAUUAUUGAUGUUGAGGAGAAGCUAAAUAUGAACUGAACCCUCAGGGCUAACCCAAAACUGAAUCCUUGAUUUCCUGCAAAACAAAGCAAAUGGAAAUAUCAAGCAAACCAAACAUCCAACACAUUAGACUGUAGAAAAAGAAUCCAAUUCAUUUCAAAUCAAUACGCACGUCAUUACCUAUGUUCAUCAAUCAUGAACAACUCAUAGUACAAAUACAUACCCUUAAUGAAUGCAAUCAAGGCUAUAAUAUUGAAUGCUACCGAUAUGGAAUAAUUAUAUUUACAUAAUUGACUUCCAAAAAAAAAAGGUUCUUCAUAGGAAAGCACAUGUUCUUGCAUUAAACUUUAAAAUGAGAGUGUCCCAUCUUGUUUCUAGUACACAUGAGGCAUUGGAGGUGAGGCAACCUGCAUCCAAAUUUUAGUAAAGCAGAGUUAGAAUAUGAACCCAAUUUUCAUCAAGUUCAUGCUCAUAUUCCAUCAGCCAAAAUGAAUUACACAUAUCUUAAAACACCCAACAGACUAAAAUGCAGUACAGAUGUACAGAGUGUCAAACACAAAGCAAGAGGGCAUCUGAUAUUCAUAAGUUCAUAAGUGCAUUCUAAAGACAUCAUAAAAUGCAUCAUUCAGGGUUAGUUUUGUAUAAAGAUCCAAACUUUAACACAUACAAAUGGAUUCUAACAAAAAAAGUUUACAUUAGCCUAAAAGGAAAAAACAUGAAAAAGGAGUUGUGAUAACAACAUCUGGUGGACAUCAAUGAAGUAAGCUGAAACAUCAAUAUGCAGCUUAAAUUUUAGAAGCUUAUGAAAUACAACAUUAGUAAGUGUAACCUGUCAGGGAAAAACCUUGAGAAGUCAUCACAUGUGGGACUAUCUCUAGCCAGGUUGUUAUGAGACACAUUCUGCAAGAAAUCAAUUUCAUGUUAGAAAAACUGAAUAAUACAUGGGCAAUCUUAUAUCAGACAGCGCUAAACAUAAAUUGAAAUCAAAAUAUUCAGAAACAAUUACUCACAGCAUUGCAAGACUAAGGCAAGAGAUCAGUGACAUCAAUUCCCUUGAUAUUUUGUUGUGCUCUAACAACCUGCAAUAAUUUUCAUCAGUGGCAACAUUAUCAAAACGAAAAUGUCAAGUCUCAGUACGUAAAUAUCCUAAACUUUGGAGCACAAUAUACACUAUGUGUCCCCGCGCGCUGCCGCUGGUUAAGAUCGACAAUUCAUAUAACAGUAAUAAUACACAAAAAUAUAAGCAGUACGUACUAAGUAGUUGUUGUUGUGAUAUCAAUGUCUGUUACAGUAGAUUAAAUCUUUGCCCAUCACAAAUGGAUGUUAAAAUACACAAUAUAGAUAAAAGGUAGAUAACUGUACUCUACAUCUUCAGAAUCCAACACCGCUGUAAUUAUGUACAAAAUUCUGGAGCUUUUUCGCGAUGGGUCUUCAUAUUUUGGUUUCUGAAUCGCAUUCCUCUUGUGAGUUAUGAUACUGAUAUUAUAUAUUUUUCUUUCCUUGGCUGUUCAAAAUUUGGACACCAAUUCAUUUUUAUUGACUCAUCAGAUCAAACCAAAAUUGUUGCAAGUUUGGGCAAUAGUUCUAUCAUGUUCAGACAAGAAUCAUGGUGUCAUCCUAUUACUAGAAGCCACAAGAACUCAUAGAAAGCAUCCUGAAGUGUAUGCCCUAUUGAAGGUUGUCACGUCCCAGCUCAAACUAAUAGCAAACAAUACAAAUUCGAAUGGGUAAAGGACAUGAAAGUACGAACUUCAGAGCCUCUUUACCUCGACUUUCGUCGUUGAUCGAUCAAGCAAUAGCCACAGCGCAGCUCGCGCCGUCUAGGCUGUUCAAUAGCCACCAAUACAACGAUCCGAGGUGACCGUCAAGGCGGUUCAAACGAAACGGAAGAUCAUGUCAGGCCGGUGCAUCCGGGUUCUUCAAUCGGGUCACGAGCCCUGAUACUUGCAUUUCAUGAUUCAGAAGGGAAGAACUUGCCUCACAUCUCGAAUUCAAUUCAAAUAUCUGGGUUGAUAAUUCAGACUUCAAAGGAAUCAGAAAAAAGAAAGGGAGAGAUUCUCCUCCCCCCGUGCUUAUCCUUUCCUCUUUUCUUAUAUAAACCCAAAUGGACGUUUUAGAUUAAACGGUGGAGGUGUAUAGACCAGAUUGAACCAUGCUUAUUUUAUUUUUAUUUUCUUUCUCUAAUAUAUCUAUAAUUAAAUCAUAGUACACAUGAUUUCACUUAAAGGAGGAUCUUACAUCAUCUAAAAUCACGAAAAGUUACUCUCGAGCACAAUUUAGAUUCUGAGAUCGUCAAAUGCUCCUCAAGCAGUCUCAACUGAGCUAGACUAAUAUAUAGUUUAUGUUACUAACUAAUGUCGGGAUGUUAUAUACUCACCCCCUUAAAGAAAAUUUCAUCCUCGAAAUUUAUAACGGGUUGGUAACAAAUUAACAAACAUAUAAUCGGAUAUUAGCGAAUAAUACGUCUACAUUUAACAAGCAAGCAUAUUGGUUUUAACAUAUUGUGCAUUUAGUACUUUGCUGCAAGACACAACAGUUGUAAACAAAAAGAAAAUUAAACAAAAACGAAAUAAAGUCUCAAUUCGUAUCACAAUGUCACGUGGAGUUUUUCUCGAUUCAUAACUCUCAAGGUUGAACACAUACACAUCACACGAUAAUUCAGAAUUUGUCAUGAGAUAGGAUUGAGUCUCUUUCGAACUUCAAAGUUACAUAUCAACACUUUCUACUCCACAUCUCAUAAGUUCGUACCUUAUUCACAACAUAUAUGAUCGAGUACAUACACAUCAUCACACAAUUUUAACGAAUCAAAAUCUAAACAAAAGUGAGAUCACAUCUCCACAUAACAUAUCACAGAUCAGAAAUCUGUCUAGUUCGCAGUUGAUCAUGCAAAAUUUCAAACUUCAAACACUUGCACAUAUCCUCUUCUUCUUUUUUUCUUUGUCUUUUUUUAACUCAAACAAGGGAAGAACAUUUUCACAAAGUACUGAUAGGAACACUCACAUCCAUAUCCUUAUUCUCAACUGAAAAAGGGAGAGCCAUUUCAUGAAAUAUAGAUCAAAACACAUAUACACGUCCCUAUUCAAAACUGAACAAGGGAGUGCCAUUAACAAAGUACGGAUCGAAACACAUAUACACGUCCAUGUUCACAACUGAGUAAAGGAGUGUCAUUUCAGAAUACUGAUCGAAACACAUAUACACAUCCCUAUUCACAACUGAAAAAGGGAGUGUCAUUUCACAUAAUGCAUAUCAGAAACAUACCACAUCAUUCCCCUGUGGAUGAGGCCCACACUAACCCCUGUGGCCGAGGUCCACACUCUUCCCUUGUGGAUAGGGUCCACACUAACCCCUGUGGCCGAGGUCCACACUCUUCCCUUGUGGAUAGGGCCCACACUAACCUCUGUGGCCGAGGUCCACACUCUUCCCUUGUGGAUAGGGUCCACACUAACCCUGUGGCCGAGGAAUACAAAAAGAUCUCAUAACAGAAACGACAUAUAUACCACAAAUAUAUUCAUCAACAAGCAUCUAACUUCAGAAUUUGGUCACGAUUAAUCCACACUCCAUAGAAAUUCACCAUAAUCUCUAAAUCAGUAGUACACAUAUAGAAGUUCAUGAGCACAAAGUUUCAAACCAAUUCUGAAUUUUAAUUCCCACUCAAAUUCGAAUUCAAACCGGUGCACUACAUAACAAGAACACAAUUUCAGAACAGAGCACUCAACCUCAGAAAAUCAUCACAAUUCACCUACCCUAUCAAAUAAUACCAAACUUUCCAGAUCAAAAGUUCACAUAUAGAAGAACAUGAUUACAAAGUUUCAGACCAAAUAGAGUCCUAAAUCCUGAUCAAAUUUAGACUCAAAACUGCUACACUGCAAAUAUCAAUACAAUUUUCAGCAUCAAGCACUUAGCUUUGGAAAAUCAACAUAAUUUAUCUACCUUACCAAAUAACACCAAACUUUACAGAUCAGUGGUACACAUAAAGAAAAACAACUCCACAAAAUUUCAAACCAAACCAAAUCCUGAAGCCCAAUCAAAUUCGAAUUCGAAACAGUAACACUACAUAACACAACUACAAAUUCUGAACGGAGCACUUAAAUUCAGAAAAUCACCACAACUCAUCUAUUUUAUCAAAACACACCAAAAUUUCCAGAUCAAUAGUAAUCACAUGGAAGAAUAAGGGUACAAAAUUUCAAGUCAAACGGAAUCCUGAAUCCUAACCAAAGUCAAGCUCCAAAACAGUUCAGACAAUAUAUUGAACAUAUACUAAUCUUUCUAUUCUAAUCCUUGAGUUUACUCUCUCUUUUCUAACCCAAAAACUUCAGACCGAAAACUACUUCAGAUAUAUGCAAAGACACACUUCAAGUUUAGAAGACUUCAAUCUAUUGUCUAUCAGCAUAAAUUCCAAAAGAUUUAAGCCAAACUAAUUUGUAAUAAACUUACCUGAAGAAAAUGAUUGCAGCUUCAGCUAUUUCUAAGACGAGACAAGACGUAUGAUAUGAAACCUCCCUUUCUUGCAUCUUCUUUUCCCUUCUAUGGUUCUCAGUGAUCACAUGUAGUUACAUAAAUGAAUAAAUAUGAUAAUCAAUGAUACCAGAUUGACAUCACCUUACAUUAACCAACACAUUCUCUCUAAAAUAUGGUUACUAACUUUUUGAAGCCCUUAAACUUAUUUUCCAAAACAUACACAGCUAUACAUACGCACAUAUAGUUGGUGAGUAAAAAGGCAGACAUAAAAAUUUAUAUCUGAAGCUAUAGAAUAAUAAUCUGAUAUACUAGAAUAUGUAUAUGAGUCCUUUAAGCUAGCAGCCCUUUCAUACUUCUAUUUUCCCUUGCAUGAUCCAACAUUCCAACCUCUCAAAUCAACAAACCGAUUCUCUUUCAUAGCACUAAUCUGCCUUCAAAAUAAUAAGCAAGUUACCGAUCAUCACUCAUUCAAUUAAUCCCACUGAGUAACACAUCGUUCAUAAAACCCAAAAACACAAGAGUGCCACUUUCAAAUUUGAACAAAGAAAAGAAAAGCCUCAAAAUUCCCCAAAAGAAAAAAUCAAUGCGCUAAGCCAUCACCAUGAAGAAAAAGAAAAAUAGAAGAUCAUAAACCAAAUAUACAAACACAGCGACUCACCCUCAUCUUCUCCAACACCACAUGCAACUAAGAAACAUCAAACACCAACUUGUAAUCAAAACCACUUAAAAGUCUAGACCUUGACCGAUCACAAUUCACAAUAAUCAGUAUCAAGCUCUUACGAUCAUGAAAUUGAAAGUCCAAUCCGUUCCUCCCCAACAAUUUAUACCCUGGCAAUCAUAUCCCUGCUCUGAUACCAUUUGUCACAUCCCAGCCCAAACUAAUAGCAAACAAUACAAAUUCGAAUGGGUAAAGGACAUGAAAGUACGAACUUCGGAGCCUCUUUACCUCGGCUUUCGUCGUUGAUCGAUCAAGCAAUAGCCACAGCGCAGCUCGCACCGUCUAGGCUGUUCAAUAGCCACCAAUACAACGAUCCGAGGUGACCGUCAAGGCGGUUCAAACGAAACGGAAGAUCAUGUCAGGCCGGUGCAUCCGGGUUCUUCAAUCGGGUCACGAGCCCUGAUACUUGCAUUUCAUGAUUCAGAAGGGAAGAACUUGCCUCACAUCUCGAAUUCAAUUCAAAUAUCUGGGUUGAUAAUUCAGACUUCAAAGGAAUCAGAAAAAAGAAAGGGAGAGAUUCUCCUCCCCCCGUGCUUAUCCUUUCCUCUUUUCUUGUAUAAACCCAAAUGGACGUUUUAGAUUAAACGGUGGAGGUGUAUGGACCAGAUUGAACCAUGCUUAUUUUAUUUUUAUUUUCUUUCUCUAAUAUUUUUAUCAUUAAAUCAUAAUACACGAUGGAGACAUGAAUUCACUUUAAAACAAGGAUCUUACAUUAUCUAAGAGCAUCUCCAGUAAUAGAGUUAAAUUUAUUACUAAAUUUGUCAACAUUUAGAUUUAAAAUAGUAAUUUUUGAACUUUUGCUCCAGCAGUAUUACUAAAUUAUAUACAUUAGCUAAGUUUUAGUUAAUUGUCUCCCAAAAAUUGAUAAUUUAUCAAUUUUCUCUAUCAACUUCUUAAGUAUACUGCUGGAGCAAAGAUUCAUUUAAAAAUUGAUAAAUCUCUAAUUUUUUUCAAUUUAUCAAUGCUGCUGGAGAUGCUCUAAAAUCAUGAAAGCACAUUUUAAAUUCUGAGAUCGUCAAAUGCUCCUCAAGCAGUCUCAACUUAGCUAGACGAAUAUAUAGUUUAUGUUACUAACUAAUGUCAGGAUGUUAUAAAGGUAAUUGAACACACAAUUUUUUCCUACGUCUCUCUAAUUAAUCUUAUCUUUCCACCAAGAACCAUUGAUUUAUCAUUACGUUAAAUUUAUUUAUUUUUUGUGAAAUUUCUAUCCUAAUUGUUGUUAUUUAUUACAUAUUGGACAUGUAAUUCACUGGUUUGUAUACACAAGGAGUUUCUGGGUUUCGGCUCUUCUCAACUCUCAGUCUCAUCAUGGGCAUCUGCUUUUGUUUUAAUUUUUGAGGAAGACUGUAUAUUUAGAUUCAUUAGUAGCAUUGCCUUUGGGACAGUUGGUUAAGUAGGUUUUUUGUUCUAGUCAUGAUCUAUUUUUUUGAGGAGAAAGUCAUGAUCUAUUAUAAAUUGAGAGAUUUAUGAAUAAUUUUGGUGUUAAACAAGAGUCCGGAUUGUGUUUUUACUGUUUUAUGAUGAAGUGUUAAAUUUAUUCACCAACUGUGACGGUUUGUGUGUCUAAGACCAUCUCCCAUCAUAGGCUAAAAAGCCAAAUUUAGCCUAUAGUUACUCCCACCAUAAGCCAAAUUACAAUUCCCAAGGUAAAAAAUUUAGCUUGAGCUAUUUUGUAAGCCAAAUUUGGCUUAUGAAAUUUGUAGGCUAAAACUAAGUAUUAUUUUAUUCAAACUUUAGAUUUUGUUCUUCUAAUUUCACUAGCAUCUAAAUUGAAAAUUCGUUACUAACAAAAUUUUAUACCAUUGUGACGAUCUCGACGAGAUAUUUCAUAUGAGUCCCAUAUCGAAUAUAUUUAUAUAAAAAAAAAUUUCAUGAUUAAUUAUUGAAUUAAACAAAUAAAUGAUAAAAUAAAAAUAAAUUGAUUUAUCUAAGGAUUUAGCUUACUGUAGGAGUGCUUCUUUAGGCCAAAAUACUAUUAAUUUGGCUAAAAAUUUUGCUUAUAGUGAGUUAUGGUGAGAGAAUUUAGUAAGUUAAAAACAGAUUUUAUAGAAUAUUCUUAUUUUGUAAGCUAAAUUUAGCUUAAAAUUUGGCUUACAGCUCUAGGUGUGUAAUUGCCUGCAUGGAUACCCAUUCAAAAAUUUGAUUUUUUUUUUUUUUUAAUUUCUAUGGAGUCACCAUUCAGUUCAAGGACCCACAAUUAUUUACUCACCAAAAAACCGAUAGUGACUUUGUUUGGUUAGCCAAGCCAGCGAAAGGGACCAACAGCAAUAUUAGUCACUAAAGCCGUGUCUAUUAAUUAUCCCCACUAAUCAAUUGUGUCCUUUGAUCCAACACACACCAUUUUUAAUAGCCCACUUCUAUGGUAGUGAAAACUGACAUCCUUGGAUAAAAAAAUAAAAAUAAUAAAAAAAAUAAAAUCUUACCAAAACAACUUUAAAUAAUAUAUUAAAGGUAUUAAACGAUUUACAGAAAAAAAUAAACAUAUUAUUAGGGGUAAUAAAUAUUGAGAAAUCCAUUAAUAAAGUUUAUAAAAGGUAACUCAUAAGCCACAAACAUGAAGCACGUACAGUAAACCUUGUAUUUCUUACCACAACCACGUACAGUAACUCAAAAGCCACAAACAUGAAGCACCACGAGUACCUCUCCCUCCUCCUCCUCUUCCUGCUCUUUCUUCACGUGGACGACAAAACGGGCCUUCUUGCCUUCAACUCAGGCAUCACGACUCAACGGUAACGACGGCGGACGAGACUAUUGUUGUUGUUUCGGCUUCGGCGUAGAGUCGACGGCAACGACGGUAAUAACAGAGUAAUCGACGUCGUGGAUGACGAUGUUAUUGGUGACGUAGACGUCGGGACGCGAGAGUUGGUCUUGAAGAGGCUGAGAUCAGCAUAAGUGAGGUGCUGAGGGACGACGUGAUAAGGCAAGAAGAUCUGGUUGGCGAUGGGAAGGCACGAAACGGCAGCGUUUUCAGACAUGUGUGGUGUCGUGUUAAUUUCUUGCGUUUAGAUUGAUUUUCUUUAUUUGCACCCCGAGUAAAUAUACCUGACCAACAAAAAGCAGUUACCUGAUAUUAAUCAUAAUCAUAGUAUGAAUGUGGUAAGAUCCAAGACUAAAAUUUCGACAAUCGAUGAUAUUUUGAUUCUCUAACAAAUAGAUUUUUCAAAGAAAAUAUUGAGAAAUAUUGAUAGGGGCAAAAUUUUGAAAGGAAAGUAAAAAUUAUGUGAAAAUAUAUACACUGGUUUUUUGAUACUUAUAUACUAAAAUGUUCUUCAUGCUAACCAAAUAUCACUUCAGUAGAGUUGGUUGGGGGAGUUUGAACAUGGGGUUGCUACGGUUUGAUUCCCCUCACAUGCGCUUUGACUUUUAUUCCAAUUUUUCACAUAUGGGCCGAGUUGAUGUGAGUUGGGUCGAACUAAUGAUAUAAUCUUGUGUGUUUCGGCAAAAUAUCGAAAUUUUCUCACGAUAUUCAGUUGAUAAGCAAAGAUAAUAUCGGAUGAUGAGAAAAACGAUAUUCUCGGCGAAAUAUCGCUGAAAAUCCCGAUUUUAAAGACCAUGGGUAAGAUCCGGAUCAAGCUCGAGGGGGUCCAGAUCGAGAUGCAUACUUGUGCCAGUUGUGUGUUGUGAGGGAUGGGGAUGGAAUAUUUAUAUUUAAGAAAGAACACGGUGAAACACGGAUAUGUUUUAUUCAGUACUUCUCAACAACCAACCAGUCUCUGAAUCCGAGAAACAGAACCAAAUUCGAAAACAAACAAGAUUGUCUCGAAAAAGGAAGUAGAAAGAAGGGUGUUGCACAGGCAGCCUAAUUGAACCAAAUACAAAUUCAAAUGCAAAUUCAAAGGGAACCACAAACGGACCCAGCAACAGCUUAAUCAGCUAGCUACGAGGGGGGGGGGGGGGGGUGGAGGGAGGGAGUACAUUACAUUACAUGCAUUGGAUAUAAGAGAUGGAUGGGUGUGGGCGGAUGAUGAAACAUAUGAUUUUUGAGUAACACAAAUGAAUUAGUAGCCUGCAGGCUUGUAGGCGAUGAAACUGAUGCACUGAACUUGACGGACAUUGUCGAAUCCGAUGAUACGGAUGAAAGCAUUUGGAUAAGCCUUCUUGGCCUCCUCGAGCUCCUUCAACACUUGGGAAGCGUCGGUGCAUCCGAACAUGGGCAACUUCCACAUGGUCCAGUAGCGGCCGUCGUAGUAUCCCGGUGACUUGUGGUUCUCACGGUACACGAAUCCUUUCUAUAUAUACACAAUUACAGUUACAGAGCACCACCGGUACCAAUAAUCAGUAGUUAAACAAGUACAAUUAAUUUAACUUGAGUAAAAAUUAUAUUAGUGAAAAAAUAACUAAUUAAUACCUCCAACUCAAAUUCCAAGCAGGGAACCCAUUUGUUGCGGAGAAGGAAAUCAACUUCCUUGGCCAAGGACUCGGAAGUAAGCGGUGGAAGGUAGGACAGCGUCUCGAACUUCUUCAAACCAACUGGAGGCCACACCUAUACAGAAUAUAUAAUCGGAGUCGAUCAAUUAGUAAGGUAGGAUACCUAGCAAGUAAUUAAGCUUCACGCUAGUAAGUGGAAAUUAAACUAUAUAUAUACGAUGGUGAAUUAAUUCACCUGCAUGCAUUGCACUCUUCCGCCAUUGCUUGGGAG